Molecule: long non-coding RNA, 50191 nt
Filed under: Gossypium barbadense (sea-island cotton)
Lineage: Eukaryota; Viridiplantae; Streptophyta; Magnoliopsida; Malvales; Malvaceae
Description: long non-coding RNA (GBAR_LNC003051)
Source: RNAcentral
CUUCUUUUUCUGGGUUUUUCUUUUCUUCUUUCCAAUUUUCAUUUUUUUAUUUUUUUCUUCUUCCUUUAAUGAACCCUAGCCAUUGCCACCAUCUGAGCUCUGAUCGAGCACCAUGAAAACACUUCGGCCUCCUUUUUACACCGUCAGAUUAUCACCAAUCUCCAGUAUGUGGUACAUCGUGUUAUGGUUUGCCUUACCACUGUUACAAUUGCCGAACGGAGAUCUGGAGUUCCAAAAACGAGCUCAAACAGAUAAGUCCUCAAUAAAAAACCCUAUAUUUGAAUAUGAAUUUUCUUGCUACGUUUUAUCUACUCUCUGAUGUUGAACCAAGCCACCGCCGUCAAUGGCCUCGCCUCCAGUCAAUGUGUAUUAUUGCUCUGCCUCUUGUUUCUUUUCCUUUUUUAUCAAAUGAUAAACAUGUUUGAAAACAUUAGAUUUUCCCGGGUUUGUUUUCUGGGUUUGCAAAACUGAGUUUCAAUUUUGAUUGGGAUUCCAUGUUUAUUAUAUGGGUUGUCUCUGCUUUGAUUUUGUACUGGAUUUUGAUUUGCUCUAUCGUCAAGUACUAUUGAGACAAGCUAUGGUUGCAAGGUUUCGAUUUUGAUCUUGAUUUGCAAUGUAUUAAUGACGAUCCCAAUACAAAUAAGCUCUGCUUUUUGAAUAAUUUGAAAUUGGAUUCAAAUUUUCUUGCAAUUGAGAUUUUUUAAGCUCGACUUCAUGGAGUAAACUAGAGAUUUUAAAAUAUUCAAACUUGAAUACCAUUUCAUGAACCUUAAUUUGAAAGAAAAUUGGAAACCCCAAAUUAGCUCAACUCCAAUGCCAUUUUCAGGAAAAAAAAAAGAAGGCCACUCAUCGGCGGCAAUAGAAGCAUCAACUUGGGUUGAGAGAGGAAGAAGAAAGAAGGAAAAAAAUAAAAAAUUAGGGAAAAAAGUCAAAAGAAAAAAGUUCAUUUUUUAAAUUAUGGCAUCAUCAUGACAUCAUUUAUGCCACAUCUCACAAUCUUAUUCUAACACAUGUCCUAAAAUUAAUGGCGUUAAAUUCAAGUACAGAUUUAGUUGACGGAAAAAAUUCAGGUACUAACCUGGGACAAAAAAACCAUAAGUACCAAUCUAGGAGAAGUGGAAAAAUUCGGGUACCAACCCAAUUUUAUGUAUAGUCAUAUUAACAAAUUUUAAUGUUUACAUAAUAGAAAUAUUAUAUAUUAAAUUUUUACCUGUUAUAAAUUACAUAAUAUACAAAAACAAAAAAAAAUAAAACAUUAAAAACUUAAAAAAAAAGGGUCAGCCAGGGCUAGGUUCAAGCUAAAACAUUCAUGGUCCGAGCUCGACCCAUAUUUUAAAUGGGCUUAAUUUUUUGCCUUAGCCCAUUUUUUAGACCUAAUUUUUUUGCUCAAACCCUCCUAAAUUUUGGAUGGGCUUUCGGGCUUGGACAGGUAGCUCGACUCAUAAACAGGUCUAGUAAAUAGUAUUCUAAAAUAUUCAUUAAUAUUUUACUUGCUAUAAGUUUUCUUUAUAUUUUUUCAAUUCCAUCUUUUUUCUAAUGUGACAUAACUUAUCAAAAUCUCUUGAUUAUUAACUUUCUUUUAAAUACCUAAACCUCUUUUGAAGUUUUCUUAUAGUUAUUUCUAUAUUUAAGUACUUAGACCUAUUCUAAAGUUUACUAAUCAAUUAUAUGUUGGAAAAUGAGGUUUGGAAAACGCAACAAAAAAUAAAUUUAGGGAAAAACCAGAGUUUUAAUUUUUGUUUUCCAAAACAAGAACUUGGUUGUGAUAUCUAAAGUAAUAAACAAUUAAUCAAAAUUGUACAUUUUCUAUUCAUCUAGGAUGAGUGCUCCGACCGACUAGUCUUCUCCGCUAUCCUCAAGCUCACGUCUGCCGAGUGUGGGCUCGCUUCGAAUUAGAAAAUUCUUCACAAAAAUUAUCAGUGGGGUAAUUUUGUAAUUUCUCUAAAAUUUUGGGCCAAGUUGUAAAUACAACAAAUAUCUUUAGAAAUUUUCUGAAAUACUUUCUUUAGAGAAUUUUCUCUCUACAACUUUCUCUUGAAUUCAAGUGUGUAAAAAAUAAUGACUCAAGACUCUAUAUAGGGAGAUUUUAGAGAGUUCAACUAUGAUUAAACUUAAUCAAUUUAAUAUUAAAUUAAUAUAAUAUUUAUCAAGAUACAUAUUAAAUUAAAUUUAAUAUUAAGAUAAUCACUUUAAUAUUAAAUUAAUAAAAUACUAUUAAGAUAAGUAUUAAAUUUAAUAAAAUAAUAUUACUUUUGGAAUAGUUAAUCUAAAAUCAAAUUCUCUGGUAGAGUCCCAGUAGUAGUGUAACUCUUUCACUGCUUAACAACUGAAGACCCACCACCGCUAGCCAUCGAAACGCUAUCGUCUUUGUCGUCAACAUCGCCAUGUCUGACGGUGCAGGUGUGACAUCUUCAUGACACCCCAAGCCUAUUUAGAUGCUAUCAAUUUAGUCUAGCCAUCGGUUGGACUGUUGGCCCGGUUUCAUAUACUGGGCCCAGUUUGACAGUUUUGUGUCUUGGUCUUGGUUUUGGGCUCCUGUGCCCAUUGAGCCAAUUGUCUGACUUGAAAAUUAACUUCCAUAAAUAUCAUAUUAAUUUUAAUUGAUUUAAUUAAUUUAAGUUUACUUGAUCAAAAUUAAUUUUUCCAAAAACCACUUAGAUUUUCCAAAUUAAUUUUUCAAGGAAAUUAUUUAAUCAAAUUUUUUAGUUGAAUGAUUCUCACGACCAACUAAUUUAAUUCCACAUAGAAUAAAUCGACUCUAUUAAAUUAUUCCCAAAGUUGUAGAAUUUUCUUCUGAUUCAAAUGUAAUCCGAUAGAGCUUUUUUUGAGCUAGCAGAGGGACCAAUCGGACAUAUACAAUUAGGCUUUAGUGAUUGCAAUUGUAUCUAGAAGCAUCGUUCCGAUAAAUCGCAAUUACUUAAUCAUGGAGUUAGUCCACAAGGAGUUUCAUGAUUGAAAACUCCUUAUUGUAUGCUCUUUACAAAAGCAAUUCAUCCAACUACUUUGUCCAAUGACCUCGUUAUGUGUGUGUUACCCUCAUAUGAUAUCAUUGAUUCCUUUGAGUUAAAUCCGUUCACUCAAUACAAUCCUAUUUUAUCUCAUUGUCACCAUUGUGUCCUUUUAAUGAUUAAUAUGAUCACUGUCAACAAAUGACUAUGAUAAAUUACUUGUUUGAGAACAAGCAACCUGUGGCCACGUUCUAUAUUUAUCAAUCCACACAAUCCAAUGAGAGGAUAUCGUUAACUCUUUAAUUGAGCUAUGAAUUCCAUUGUUGCUAGCAUAGUCAUGUCAUACACAAAUCAUGUACCUAGCAUACCAACUAUGGGCUCAAUCAUAUUUAGAGCAUAAAUCUCCACUUAUAUCAAAGCACAUGAGUUACAUAAGCAUUAUCAGUGGCUAACUUAGGAUUUAGGUAAAUCACACCAUGAACGUUACAAGUGAAUUAAUCCACAAACGGAUUUAGAAUUUAUUCAUUUUGGGUCCAGUCCAAUGUAUCAUUCUACUAAUGAAUACAUUUAUAUCUCUACUUGUGGAGUCAACUGCUCUGAUAGCCAAGACUAGUCAUCUCCUCAAUUGGAAUUGUAGACAACAUAAUAAUCCUUCUCAAUAUUUGAAUCAAAUGCUCACUUUAAUUCUUUUAUAGGAUUACAGACUUGUUUAGAUUAUCAACUAAAGUAAGUUUGUCUUUCUUGCAAUGUAAACGCUCUUACAAUGCCACUUAUCUCCAGUUUGAACUUAGACAAUCAACGAGCUAAUAUUUGUUUGUCACAAUUUUGUUAUUCAUGAAAAAUAUGAAAUACAUAAAUACAAAAGGCAUAAUAGUAAAAUGUGAAAUUAACUUUAUUUAUUUAUUCAUCGUUCAAAUAAAUAAAAAAUAUUUACAUGUUUACUACAAUAUGGGCACAUUUUCCAACAUUAUAUGCUUGACCUCUUUUUGAGCUCUUUCCUAUACAAUAUGAUCAUUUUGAGUGUUUGCUUUUCUCUUUUUACAAUGAUUUUUUUAUUUGAAAUUGAUUUGUUUUCCACACUUUCGUUGUGGACUAGAUUACUUUCUUUUGCAAUCAUAAGUUGUCCUACUAGGAUAUCAAUUAGUACGAGUGAUCAAUUAGUAUGAGUGCAUUUUCAGCCAUGGUAGUCGGUAUUGUACUGAUACCGGCAUGUACAUUCUGUCCUAAUUCUAAAAAUGUACCAUGUAUUCUAUUUUCUGUACUAAUAAAAUUUCAAUGUGUUUCAAGUAUUUCAUCUGUUUUGGUCAAUGUCGAUGUAUCCCAACUUGUGCCAGUUUGUACAAAAUUUUGACAUUUUAAACCUUUAUUUUUUUAUCUUAACAAUUUUAUAUUUCUAUAAUUACAUUUAACAAUUAGACUGUAAAUAUAUAUGUGAAAAAUCUUUAAAUGUAUAUAUAAUUUUUCAAUAAAUUAAAAAUUAAACUAAAAAUAUAUACAUGUAACACCUCUAACCCGUAUCCAUCACCGGAAUAGGGUUAUGGAGCAUUACCAUAAAAAUUGUAACUUAAAACAUUCAAUUCUAAACAUUUCAUAAAUCAUAGCAUAAUUCAUUCAAACACAUGCAACUCGUCCCUAAUUUGAGCCCUCGAGGCCAAAGAAACACUAUAGAAUAAUUCGGGACUAAAUCGAAAACAUUUAGAACUCAUGGAAAAAGGUAGAAACUUUCAUACUGCAGGGGUCACAUGGCCGUGUGGCCAGCCCGUGUGGACAUUUGAAGUAUGGAUAUACAAUCGUGUCCCAGCCCGUAUCCUUGCCCGUGUACCUCUCUGACUUGGGUUACACGGCCAAGCCACAUGCCCAUAUGCCAAGCCGUGUAACUCUUGAAAUGGUCUCACACGCCCGUGUACUGGGCCAACUGAUUAACUUGAAUGCCUUUCAAACCUAUAGGGGACACAUGGCCGAGACACACGCCCUUGUCUCAGGCUGUAUGGACAUGAAAUUGGCCAAAUUCAAGUCAUUUCCAUCUCCAACUCAAAUAUGUACCUACAACCAUUUUGUUCCCACAUUCAAGACUUCAAAACACACCAAUUCAUGCAUGAAAUAAUCAAUUCAAUAAAUAAAAAAAUUCAUCCAACCAAUAUGCCCACAAGGCACCUCAAUUUCAUGCAACCAAAAAUCAUCUAAACAUGUCCAAAAACUUAUCAUAAUUAAGCAUCAUAACUCGUUUUAAACUAAGCUAAUACACACCACAUGUUUGAAGUAUUCAAGCACCAACACUCUACACCAAAAAUACCUAGUUAUGUACACAAGUUCAAAUGCCAUUUACAUCUUCACAAAAAUAUCAAAAUACUAAAGAGAUUUCCUAAUACAUGCCAUUUAAACCAACUAGCAAGAACCAAAAUGACUACCAAGAUGAUGAUAGUGUGUGAGCUUUCGGGUCAAUUCCAAUCGAAGCAACGAUUCCACAAGUCCUACAAAAAUUAAAUCAAACUAAUAAGCACAAGAAGGCUUAGUAAGUUCAAUAAUAGCUUCAUUUAUUAUUAACAAAAAAUGUUCAAUUUAAUGUUAACUUUCAAUACACCGGCAUAAAGCCUGCUAGGCACAGAGCCCGAAUAACAUUACACUUCUAUUUCUUUAAAAAUAGGUAAAUGAAAUUCAAAGAUUAUCCAAUAAUGAAAUAUUCAAUACAGUUAAUAAUAAUCAUAUAAUGAACUUACAGGACUAGAUUGUAAAAAUUACGAAACACAGGAACUGUAAUAGCCCGUUUUUAGGUCAAAUCGGAACAAUGGUUUUGGGACCACAAGUCUAAAGUAAAAAUAUUUAUUUUAUUAUUUUACUAAGGUUUACAACAUGAUAUAUUAACUACGUGCAAGUUUCGUAAAGAAAUUUUACCGUUUAAUAGAUUAAUUCUGUAAAAAAGACUAAAUCGCGUAACGCGAAAAAGUUGAGUUCUAUUGUUUAAAAGUAUGAAAUAGAUAUGGUUUAUUAAUAUGGGAGUCCUUGCAUGUCAAUUAGACCUUAAAUGAUAUAGUGGAAGUUGUUGGCAAGGUAUUUUGAAAUUAUUAAAGUUCAUUAAGGUUAUUUUGGUAAAAUGUCAAUUAAUGUUAUAUUAAUAAAAGAAAGUCAAAUUUUUGUUAUAUCAUUCAUUUCUAUUGCCAAAAAUUGAGAAGAAAGAAUAGGAAACUUAGAUUCUCAUUCGGCCAAGCUUGAAUCCUUGAUUAAAGUACGUUUUUUUAUCUGUUUUUAAUGAUUUUUACGUUUUUGAGUUCAUUGUAGCUUAAUUUAGCUAGCCCGUACCUUCGUUUUUGAAACUGUUAUAGAUUUUGAGAUAUUCCAUUGUUGAAUACUUGAGUAUUUUGAAAUUUCUUGUUAGAUUAUUAAUUGUUGUUAAUAGUUAUACAAGUUUUAUAAAGUGAUUUUUGAAAAAAAUGAGAAUUAAGGAUUAAAUUGUGAAAGAUAGAAAUAUUGUGGUUAGAAAUGUGAAAUAAGUGAAAAUAUGGGCUAUUAUAAUACCAUAUAGAAUUCGGCUAAGGUGGAUUGUGGUUAAAAAUGUGUAAUUUACUAUUUUAUGCAUAAAUGACUAAAUUGUAAAAUAGUUAAAUUAUGGGGGUAAAAAUGUAAAUUUCCAUAUAUGUGAAUUAGGGACUAAAUGGAAAUGAAUAGUUACUGAAAAUAUUGAAUUUGAUAAAUUUAGAUCAAGACAAACAAAUAUCAAAACUUGAUCGGGGGAAACAAAAGAUAGACGGGUAGACGGAAGUUAACCGAGCAAAUACGCGAUAAGUUCGUAUAAUUAGAAUCGAACUUUUAUAUACUUGUAAUUGUUGAAUUGAAUGUAAUUUAUUGAAAUACUUGAAAUAUGAAUGCUUAGAAGAUACAUUGUAUUCGUUAUCGAGCCCCGUUUGAACUAUCUGAAUUCAUUGGAUACAAACGAUGUGUUAUUAAGAUUACCAUUUUGGUUGAACUCCUGCAUUUGUUGCGGCCUCACCAUAGCUUGUAACAUCCUGAAAUAGGGCCUAAAUGGAACAGUGGUUGUGAAACCAUGAAUCUGAGAUAGAAAAGUUUAUUUCGAUUAAUUUUAUAAUUUACCGAGUGAUUAGAUGCAUGUGUUAAAAUACCGAUAAGAAAUUUCAGUGAUUGCAUGUCCGAUUUGCAUAUUAGGGCUUAAUUGAAAAAGUUGAUAAAUAUGAGUUCUAAAUGCUAAGGGAUUAAAUUGAAGUGCGUAAUUGAACUAGAGGUCCUUCAAUGGUAAUUAGACCAUUAUAUUUUCAUGGACAAAAAUGGAUAUACAUAGGUAGAAAUAACUAAAAAUUUUAAUGAAGGGCAUUUUAGUAAAGUGUCAAAUAAAAGAAUUAAAAGGGGAAAAAGAUGGCAAAAAUGUGCUCAUCUUCUUCCCUAGGCCGAAUGUCAAGGUUUCUCCAUAGCUAGGGUUUGUUUCAAGCUUCCAAACUCUAUAGUAAUUGAUUCCAAGCCCCAUUUUUAAUGUUCUUUACGUUUUUUGAGUCCCGGUAACUUGAUUAAGCUUAUUCUAGCAAUAAUUUAACCUAGGGUUUAUAUUUUGAAAAAAACCCAUAGGUGAAAUGUGUUUAUUUUGAUGUUUUAUGGUAGAAUAUGAAGCUUGAAAUUGUGUUAAACAACUUUUGCUAAGCGAUUUUACGUGAAAACGAGUAAAACGACAUAAUCGGUAAAAAUACCUAAUGUUCAUAAGUACAUUUUAGAGUGAGAAUUUGAUGUUGCCAUAUAAGGGAAAAAUGAUCAGCAUGUCAUAAAACAUAAGAAAAUGGGAUGAAGUUUAAUUUUCGAGCCUUGGGGAAAAAGUGUAAAUAUGUAAAGUUUGGGGGCAAAAGUAUAAUUUUGCCAAAGUUUGAGUCAAGGACUGUUUUAAUAAAUGUGAGUAUUAAAUAAGCUAAAUUUGUUAUUAUAGAUCAAGAAGAAUGAAAUCCUAAGUUAGACUGGGGAAAGAAAAAGAUAGUGGACUAAAUCGAUAUAGUUGAUCGUAUUUUGUUUUGAGGUAAGUUUAUGGUAAAUAAAUGCAAUAUUCUAUUAUUUUAUGUUAAUGUUGUUAAUUUCCAGCAGUGUAUAUUUAUUUUACUAAAUUAUUCAAAGAAGACUUAAGCAUGAAUUGACGGAGAAGUAAUUUCAGAAAGUCCCGGUUGAACCUUAGGAAUGUGUAGGAUACAAAUGUCACGACAGUAAGGUUUAAGGAUACCAUGUAAGACCAUGCCAAGGCAUGGAAAUUGGUAAGGUUUCUAACGCAAGGAUGCCAUGUAAUACCAUGUCAAGGCAUGGCAUUGAUAAGUUACUAUAAGGCAAAUGUCUCAUGUAAGACCAUGCCAAGGCAUGGCAUUGGUGAGUUCAUAAGGUAAGGAUACUAUGUAAGACCAUGUCGAGACAUGGCAGUGGUAAGUUUCAAAAGGAUACCACGUAAAACCAUGACAAUUCAUGGCAAUGGUAAGGUACCCAUGUAUCCUUAGUAUUCCAAGUGGUUCAACGAGAAAAUUUAAAGAGAAUAUUAAGGUAAGGUGAGGUAAGACGAGUUAUACUAAAAGGGUAAGACAAGUUCAUGCCAGAAGAGCAAAGAUAAGUGUAUAAUGUUCAUGUAUGCUUGAUAAGGAAAAAGGUAAGUAAAAUUUAUUAAUAAAUUUGAUUAAGUAAGUAAGUAUUUAAGUAAGUGAGUAAGUGAAGAAGUUUAAAAUAUGUCUAUGACAAUUAAUGAAGUUGCAUUAGGUAGUAUCAUGCCAAGUAGUAAGAUAAUUCUUAUGAAUGUUGUUAUUUAUUUGCAUGCAAACUUACUAAGCUUAAUGCUUACCCCCUUUAUUUUCCUUCUUUUUAUAGUUUUUUCAAGCUAACUUGGGGAUCGUAAUGUACUUCAGAGGUUCGAGCACACUAUCACAAGGAUUAUUUUGGUAUAGCUAGACGUUUCAUUUUGAGUAUGGCAUGUAUAGAAUCAUAGCCAUUUUGUGUGUAUGAUCUUAUGAUAUGGCUAAUAAAUGGUAUGUAAAUGCUUGAUAAUGAGUAGCUAUUGGAAUGGCUAAUCAAGGACAUGUUUGGUGUUAUGUGUGCCUAAAUGCUAGUUAUUUCAUGGAAAUCAUGAAAAAGGUGAAAUUAGCUUUAAAACAGUAUUGGACGGCAGUAAUGACAUGAAUUUGAAACAUCACUAAAAAUAGUAAAAAUGGAUUUAGAUAGUGAAUGAGAUAUAUAAUUAAAUCUUAUUGACUUUAUUUUCAUAUGAAAGAAACAUAUAAAUAAAGGAGUUGUAUUGUAUGAGAUAUUUAAAUUUUGGUGAGAUAGGGUCAGAGUGAUUUCUGAAUCCCGUAUUUUGGAUUUAUAAAUUCACUAAAAAUUGUACAAAAUUAAUUAGAAGUUAUACUUUAUAUGUAUAGAUUCCUUAUUUAGUCUACUUUUAAGAAAAAUAAACUGAAUGGUUAUUUGAAUUCUGUACAUAGAGAAAAUUAAUUCGUAGUAAACAGAGCUCAGAGCAGCCAAACACUGAAACAUGGGAAAUUUUAACUAAUAAAAUGUACUAAUUGGAUAGACCAAAAAUUCUUAAACAAAUUUAGUAAGAAGAUAUAUGAGUCUAGUUUUAGAGAAAAUUUACGGAUUUAAAUUUCAAGUUUCGUAACUCGAGUUAUGAUUUAUUUAGUGACUAUGACGCAGAUGGAUAGUUUAUUUAUGAAAGAUGAGAUAAAUUGUUUUCAUUUGUUUAAGUGAUCAGAAAAUUUUUAUUGAUUCCGAUUUGUUCUCAAACCGUUUCAAUUUCAUGUUUUAGGGUCUCGAGGACCCUUUUAGGGACAUAUUUAAUGAAUGAAACUAAAUUAAUAUUAAAUGCAAAUUUUUAUGCCCCAAAUUAGUAAGCUAAGUCCGAUAACGCCUCGUGCUCAACUCCAGCGACGGUCUCAGGUAAGGGGUGUUACAUUUAUUGGUAUCAGAGCAAAAUUUUAGUUAGUUUUUAGAAUAUUUAGUAUGAGUAAGAGUCUAGCUAUACAUGCCAUACUUAUAUGUUGAUAGUGUGACGACUCCUGAUGAUAUUAAAAUGUUUUCUUUUAUAGUUUUGGUUCCCGAACAAGCUGGUGCAGAUGAUGUAGAGAGUAAUGCGCCCGCUCCCGCAGAAGGGACGGUGCCACCAGAUAGUAGUGAAAGGCCCGUUAUAGUUAGUCAGGGAGGAGGGACUCGAGAAGCCUUCUUCCAAGCUAUGAAUAAAUGGUUUGCCGAGUUCGUUCGUAUGAAUCCGGCUGUUAGACCUCCACCCCCUCAUGAUCCUCAGACCACCCAUGUAGCUCCCCCAGUCACAGGUACAGUUAUAAGAGAAAAGCCACCAGUUGAUAAAAUUAGAAAAUAAGGAGCCGAAGAGUUUCGAGCAACAAAAGAUGAUGAUGCAGAAAAGACAGAAUUUUGGCUUGAGAAUACUAUCAGAGUCUUUGAUGAGUUAUUCGGCACACCUGAGGAAUGUAUGAACUGUGUUGUAUCACUUCUUAGAGAUUCGGCCUACCAUUGGUAGAAGACACUUGUAUUAGUUGUAUCGAAAGAGAGUGUCUUGGGAUUUCUUUCAGGAGGAAUUCCGAAAAAGUACAUCGGUCAGAGGUUUGUUAACCUGAAAAGAAAAGAGUUUCUAGAGUUGUAACAGGGCAAUAUGACGGUGGCUGAAUAUGAGCGCGAGUUUGUUAGACUCAACAAUUGUGCUCGAGAGUGUGUGUCUAUAGAGGCUAUUAUGUGCAAAAGAUUUGAGGAUGGGUUUAAUGAUGAUAUCUGAUUGUCGGUUGGUGUCCUAGAAAUAAAAGAGUUUGUUGUCCUAGUUGAGAGAGCCUGUGAGGCAGAGGAGCUGUUAAAAAGAAAAGGAAAAGUUGAAAUUGAGAUGCAAGACACGAAGAAAAGACCAAUGAGCAAGUCAUUUCAGUCUACAUCCAAGAGGCCUAGAGAGUUCUCCACUAGAUCUAAUUUUUCAGCUGAAUAUUCUAGCCAAAACAGAGGCAAAAGAUUUAUGAGUCCAAAAGCUCAGACCACUUCGAUUUAUGUGUUGGCAGUGUUCAGCCUGAUAGACCAGAGUGUCCCCGAUGUGGUCGAUGUCACCUAGGUCAGUGUCGAGCAACUGAGACAGGUUGUUUCCGAUCUGGUGCACCAGACCAUUUUAUUCUAGAGUGUCUCGAGAUGAUUAAAAGAGAAGUAAUACCGAGUGUAAGAUCAGGUAACGCUCCUGUCAGAGGCAGACCACUGAGAAAUCUGAGAAUUGGGGCAAGUAAUAGAGGUGUAUCUAGAGAUUCAGCAGUGAGGCCAGAUGUUAGAGCACCUGCGAGGACCUAUGCUAUCCGUGCUCGUGAAGAGGCAUCCUCCCCCGAUGUGAUUACGGGUACAUUUUCUCUCCAUGAUAUUAGAGUUAUUGCUUUGAUUGAUCUGGGUUCGACCCAUUCAUAUGUUUGCAUGAAAUUGAUGCCUAGUAUGAGUAUGCCUAUAGAAUCUAUAGAAUUUGUGAUUAAAGUAUCGAAUCCAUUAGGCAAACAUGUAUUAGUAGAUAAAGUAUGUAGAAAUUGCCCUUUGAUGAUUAGAUGUCAUUGUUUCCUGGCCGAUCUCAUGCUAUUGCUGUUUGAUGAAUUUGAUAUGAUUCUUGGUAUGGAUUGGUUGACUACACAUGAUGUGAUAGUGAAUUGUGGAAAGAAAUUCAUUGAGUUGAAAUGUGAAAAUGGUGAAAUUCUUCGGAUUAAUUCAGAAGAGUCAGAUAGUUCAUUUGCCAUGAUUUCUGUUAUGUCUGCUCAGAAAUGUUUGAGAAAAGGGUAUGAAGCUUAUCUUGCUUUUGUGUUGAACACUAAAGAUCUAGAAUUGAAAAUUGAAUCAGUGCCUAUGGUAUGUAAGUUUCCCGAUGUGUUCCCAGAAGAACUACUAGGUUUGCCUCCUGUUAGAGAAGUUGAGUUUGGUAUUGAGUUGAUUCCAGGUACCACACCUAUUUCUAUUUCUCCUUAUAGAAUGGCCCCAUUGGAAUUGAAAGAAUUGAAAACUCAGUUGCAGGAAUUAACAUAUAAAGGCUUUGCAAGACCCAGUAGUUCACCAUGAGGUACACCAGUGCUAUUUGUGAAAAAGAAAGAUGGAUCGAUGAGAUUGUGCAUAGAUUAUUGAUAGCUUAACAAAGUAACAGUAAAGAACAAGUAUCCACUGCCUAGAAUUGAUGAUUUGUUUGAUCAAUUGAAGGGAGCGACUGUGUUCUCCAAGAUAGAUUUGAGAUCCGGAUAUUAUCAGUUGUGAGUUAAAGAGUCAGAUGUCCCAAAGAUUACUUUUCAGACUAGGUAUGGUCAUUAUGCGUUCCUUGUGAUGCCAUUUGGCUUAACUAAUGCUCUUGCCAUUUUCAUGGACUUAAUGAACCAAAUUUUUAGACCGUACUUGGAUAAGUUUGUAGUUGUGUUCAUUGAUGAUAUCUUGAUUUAUUCUCAUGAUGAGACUGAGCAUGCAGAGCAUUUGAGAACAGUUUUACAGAUUCUGAGAGAUAAUCAGUUGUAUGCCAAGUUCAGCAAAAGUGAGUUCUGGUUACGAGAAGUUAGUUUUCUUUGACAUAUUGUCUCAGGUGAAGGUAUCAGGGUUGAUCCGAGUAAGAUUUCAGCCAUUGUUGAUUGGAAGCCUCCUAGAAAUGUACCAGAAGUUAGAAGUUUUCUUAGUCUUGCCAGAUAUUAUAGAUGAUUUGUAGAGGGAUUUUUCAUGAUAGCUAUCUCGUUGACAAGAUUGCUACGAAAGGAUGUCAAGUUUGAAUGGACUGAGAAGUGUCAACAGAGUUUUGACAAGUUAAAGGCAUUGUUGACUGAAGCUCCUAUUUUAGUACAACUAGAACCAGGUAAGGAGUUUGUGAUUUACAAUGAUUUGUCCUUGAAUGGACUUGGUUGUGUACUUAUGCAGGAAGGAAAGGUAAUUGCUUAUGCCUCUAGACAGCUAAAGCCACAUGAGAAUAACUAUCCGACACAUGAUUUAGAGUUAGCUGCCAUUGUUUUUUCGCUGAAGAUCUGGAGACAUCAUUUGUACGGUGAGAAGUGUCGAAUAUUCACUGAUCACAAAAGUUUAAAAUAUUUGAUGACUCAAAAAGAUUUGAACUUGAGGCAAAGAAGAUGGCUAGAGUUGAUUAAAUAUUAUGAGCUAGUGAUCAAUUAUCACCCAGGUAAGGCAAACGUUGUUGUUGAUGCUUUGAGUAGGAAAUCUUUGUUUGCAUUAAGAGCUUUGAACACUAGUCUAGCCUUAUCAGAUGAUGGUUUUAUCUUAGCUGAGUUGAGAGCUAAACCGAUGUUUCUUGAAGAAACUUGUGAAGCUCAGAAAAAUGACAGUGAGUUGCUAGCCAAAAGAGCUCAGUGUGAGUCGGAUAUAGAGUCAGAUUUUUAGAUCAGUUCUGACGGUUGUUUGAUGUUCAAAGACAUGGUAUGUGUACCAAAGAAUGAUGAGCUUAUUCGAAAGAUCUUACAGGAAGCACAUAGCAGUUCUUUGUCUAUUCAUCCAGGUAGUACGAAGAAGUAUAAUGAUUUGAAGAAAAUGUACUGGUAGCUAGGAAUGAAAAGGGACAUUUCAGAGUUUGUUUCUAGAUGCUUGAUCUAUCAGCAGGUAAAAGCCGAACAUCAGGUACCUUCAGGUUUAUUGCAGCCUGUGCUAGUCCCUGAGUGGAAAUGAGACAUAGUUACUAUGGAUUUUGUGACAGGAUUGCCGUUGACACCGAGAAAGAAAGAUGCAGUAUGGGUUGUUAUUGAUAAGUUAAUGAAGUCGGCUCAUUUUAUCCCAGUUCGUAUGGAUUAUUCACUUGACAAGUUGGUCGAGUUGUAUAUUUCAGAGAUAGCCAGACCUCACAGGGUACCAGUAUCGAUCAUUUCAGACAGAGAUCUGAGAUUUGCUUCACGGUUUUUAAAGAAGUUACAAGAAGCUUUGGGCACAAAGUUGAGUUUUACUAUAGCUUUCCAUCCUCAGACCGAUGGUCAGUCAAAGAGAGUUAUUCAGGUACUUGAAGAUAUGUUUAGAUGCUGUGUACUGGAAUUUCAAGGCAGUUGGGAAAAAUACUUACCAUUAGUAGAGUUUGCCUACAAUAAUAGUUAUCAAUCGAGUUUGAAGAUGGCACCUUAUGAAGCUUUGUGCGGACAUAAAUGUCGCACACCUUUGUAUUGGACAGAGCUUAAGGAAAAUCAGAUUUACGGGGUUGAUCUAGUUAAAGAAACAAAAGUGAAAGUAAAAGUCAUCAGAGAUUGCUUGAAAGUAGCUUCAGAUAGACAGAAGUCGUAUGCAGAUUUGAAGAGAAAAGAUAUUGAUUAUCAAGUUGGUGACAAAGUUUUUUUGAAAGUAUCCCCGUGGAAGAAAGUUCUCAGAUUUGACAAGAAAGGCAAACUAAGUCCACGUCUUAUUGGACCAUUUAAAAUGAUUGAGAGAGUCAGACCAUUAGCAUCUCGGUUAGCUUUGUCGAUUGAGUUAGAGAAGAUUCAUGAUGUAUUUCAUGUGUCUAUGCUACGUCGUUAUCGUUCAGACCCGUCACAUGUGAUUUCUCAGACAGAGGUUGAGAUUCAGCGAGACAUGACUUACGGUAAAGAACCAGUAAAGAUUCUAGCUCGAGAGGUAAAGCAAUUAAGGAACAAAAGUAUUACACUUGUGAAAGUAUUAUGGAAUAGAUAUGGGGUAGGCAAGGCUACAUAGAAGCCCGAAGAGGCUAUGCGAAAACAAUACCUAAAUCUCUUCAUAGGUAAGAUUUUCGGGGAUAAAAUCACUAAAGGGGGAAAAAUGUAACAUCCCGAAAUAGGGUCUAAACAGAACAGUGGUUGCAAAACCACAAAUUCAAGAUAGAAAAGUUUAUUGCGAUUAAUUUUAUGAUUUACCGAGUGAUUAGAUGCAUGUGUUAGAAUACUGAUAAGAAAUUUUAAUGAUUGCAUGUCCGAAUUUCAUAUUAGGGCUUAAUUGUAAAAGUUUAUAAAUAUGAGUUCUAAAUGCUAAGGGAUUAAAUUGAAGUGCAUAAUUGAAGUAGAGGUCCUUCAAUGGUAAUUAGACCAUUUAAAAAUUUUAAUGAAUGGCAUUUUAGUAAAGUGUCAAAUAAAAGAAUUAAAAGGGGAAAAAGAUGGCAAAAAUGUGCUCAUCUUCUUCCCUAGGCUGAAUGUCAAGGGUUCUCCAUAGCUAAGGUUUGUUUCAACCUUCCAAACUCCAUAGUAACUGAUUCCAUGCCCCAUUUUUAAUGUUCUUUACGUUUUUUGAGUCCCGGUAACUUGAUUAAGCUUAUUCUAGCAAUAAUUUAACCUAGGGUUUAUAUUUUGAAAAAAACCCAUAGGUGAAAUGUGUUUAUUUUGAUGUUUUAUGGUAGAAUAUGAAGCUUGAAAUUGUGUUAAACAACUUUUGCUAAGCGAUUUUACGUGAAAACGAGUAAAACGACAUAAUCGGUAAAAAUACCUAAUGUUCAUAAGUAUAUUUUAGAGUGAGAAUUUCAUGUUGCCAUAUAAGGGGAAAAUGAUCAGCAUGUCAUAAAACAUAAGAAAAUGGGAUGAAGUUUAAUUUUCGAGCCUUGGGGAAAAAGUGUAAAUAUGUAAAAGUUUAGGGGCAAAAGUAUAAUUUUGCCAAAGUUUGAGUCAAGGACUGUUUUAAUAAAUGUGAGUAUUAAAUAAGCUAAAUUUGUUAUUAUAGAUCAAGAAGAAUGAAAUCCUAAGUUAGACUGGGGAAAGAAAAAGAUAGUGGACUAAAUCGAUAUAGUUGAUCGUAUUUUGUUUCGAGGUAAGUUUAUGGUAAAUAAAUGCAAUAUUCUAUUAUUUUAUGUUAAUGUUGUUAAUUUCCAGCAUGUGUAUAUUUAUUUUACUAAAUUAUUCAAAGAAGACUUAAGCAUGAAUUGACGGAGAAGUAAUUUCAGAAAGUCCCGGUUGAACCUUAGGAAUGUGUAGGAUACAAAUGUCACGACAGGAGGGUUUAAGGAUACCAUGUAAGACCAUGCCAAGGCAUGGCAAUUGGUAAGGUUUCUAACGCAAGGAUGCCAUGUAAUACCAUGUCAAGACAUGGCAUUGAUAAGUUACUAUAAGGCAAAUGUCUCAUGUAAGACCAUACCAAGGCAUGGCAUUGGUGAGUUCAUAAGGUAAAGGUCUCAUGUAAGACCAUACAAAUGCAUGGCAUUGGUGAGUUCAUAAGGCAAGGAUACCAUGUAUGACCAUGUCGAGACAUGACAAUGGUAAGUUUCAAAAGGAUACCACGUAAGACCAUGAAAAUUCAUGGAAAUGGUAACGUACCCGUGUAUCCUUAGUAUUCCAAGUGGUUCAAUGGGAAAAUUUAAAGCGAAUAUCAAGGUAAGGUAAGGUAAGACAAGUUAUACUAAAAAGGUAAGACAAGUUCAUGCUAGAAGAGCAAAGGUAAGUAUAUAAUGUUCAUGUAUGCUUGAUAAGGAAAAAUGUAAGUAAAAUGUAUUAAUAAAUUUGAUUAAGUAAGUAAGUAUUUAAGUAAGUGAGUAAGUGAAGAAGUUUAAAAUAUGUCUAUGACAAUUAAUGAAGUUGUAUUAAGUAGUAUCAUGCCAAGUAGUAAGAUAAUUCUUAUGAAUGUUGUUGUUUAUUUGCAUGCAAACUUACUAAGAUUAAUGCUUACCCCCUUUAUUUUCCUUCUUUUUAUAGUUUUGUCAAGCUAACUUGGGGAUCGUAAAGUACGUCGGAGGUCUGGGCACACUAUCACAAGGAUUAUUUUGGUAUAGCUAAAUGUUUCAUUUUAAGUAUGGCAUGUAUAGCAUCAUAGCCAUUUUGUGUGUAUGAUCUUAUGAUAUGGCUAAUGAAUGGUAUGUAAAUGCUUAAUAAUUAUUAGCUAUUGGAAUGGUUAAUCAAUGACAUGUUUAGUGUUAUGUAUGCCUAAAUGUUAGUUAUUCCAUGGAAAUCAUGAAAAAGGUGAAAUUAGCUUUAAACAAGUAUCAGACAGCAGUAAUGACGUGAAUUUGAAAAAUCACUAAAAAUAGUAGAAAUGGAUUUAGAUAGUGAAUGAGGUAUAUAAUUAAAUAAUAUUAAUUCUAUUUUCAUAUGAAAGAAACUGAGUAAAUAAAGGAGUUGUAUUUUAUGAGAUAUUUAAAUUUUGGUGAGACAGGGUCAGAGUGAUUUCUGAAUCCCAUAUUCUGAAUUUAGAAAUUCACUAAAAAUUGUACAAAAAUAAUUAGAAGUUAUACUUUAUAUUUAUAGAUUCCUUAUUGAGUAUACUUUUAAGAGAAAUAAACGAAAUGGUUAUUUCAAUUCUGUAUAGGGAGAAAAUUAAUUCGUAGUGAAUAGUUCAGAGCAGCCCAACAUUGAAACAAGGGAAACUUUAACUAAUAAACUGUACUAAUUGGAUAGACCAAAAAAUCUGAAACAAAUUUAGUAAGAAGAUAUAUGAGUCUAGUUUUAGAUAAAAUUUAUGGAUUUGAAUUUCAAGUUUCGUAACUCGAGUUAUGAUUUAUUUAGUGACUAUGAUGCAGAUGGACAGUUUAUUUAUGAAAGAUGGAAUAAAUUGUUUUGAUUUGUUUAAGUGAUCAGAAAAUUUUUAUUGAUUCCGGUUUGUUCCCGAACAAUUUCAAUUUCAUGUUUUAGGGUCUCGAGGACCCUUUUUAGGGACAUAUUGAAUGAAUUAAACUAAAUUAAUUUGAAAAGAAAAUUUUUAUGCCCCGAAUUAGUAUGCUAAGUCUGAUAAUGCUUCGUGCUCGACUCCGGCGACGGUCUCGGGUAAGGGGUGUUACAUAGCUCGUAAGAGCUUACUGUUUCAGCUCGUUGGAGCUUAUUGUUCAGCAUAUUAGAGCUUACCUUGUCAGCUCAAUAGAGAUUACUGUUCAGCUCGAAGGAGCUUACCGACCAUGACUCGAAAGAGCAUGUAUGACGAUGAAUUUACAGAUUAUUGACAUUGUUCACUCGAUUAUCCUUUGAAGUUCUAAUAGGUUCAAUGGGCUUAAAUAUUGGUUAUUUGGAUAUGUUAUAGGUUAUAAGUGCUAAAUAUUUGAUAUGUGACUUUAGAAUUGAUGCAAAGUAAAGUACUAAUACAUAGUUUUAUGUAUUUGUUAAAUGACUAACAUGUGAUGGAUACUUGUGAUUAGGUGAUGGUUAAAUUGAAUUGUUGGCUUUUUUAUUUAUUGCUUGAUAGUUUAUAAAUGGUAAGUUUAAAUGUCUAAAUUAUACGGGCUUAAUAAACUAUAAGCUUACUUUGUUUCAUUUUCUAUGUCUUAUAGGGUUCGUUAGCUCGCUCAUUUCGGAUAAGUCAGAGUUGCACGUCACACUAUCCAAUUUUCAAUUGGUAUUUUGAACUUAUGUAAAUAUGACAUGUAUAGGCUAGUUUGAAGAUAAUAGUUAUUUUUUGGUAUCAUGGUUUAAGAAUGAAAUUGUAUAUAAGUUAAGCCAUGUGAUUUGGUUUAUUUUGGUAUCAUAUUUCCAUUUCAUAUAUGAGCUUAAUGGUGUAUGUUUUGGUAUGGUAAUAUUUGGAUGAAAUUAUGCAAAUGAAGUCUUGAUAUAUUGAUGUUAGAUGAAUGAAUUGUAUAUGUGGUUAAACAUGGAUUUGUAUUUGUAAAUGAUAAGCUUGGUUAUGGUUUAUAAUGUAUAUUGAAUUGGUUAUUUUUUUGUUUCCAAUUGAGUUGCAUAAUUGUGGUCUAAUAUGAAUGUAAGUGCUUAUGUUUUAGGGUGGCAAAUUGGCUUUUCAAAUGGCCUAUUUUUGUCCACACGGGCGAAGACACGGGCGUGUGUCUCAGUCGUGUGUAACACACAGUCAUGUUACACGGUCGUGUGUCCCCUGGGGUACCCUACGAAUUAAAGUCAGUAUACCCUACAGUUUUGACAUGUCCUAAACACACAGGCGUGUCUAUUGGUUGUGUGUGGCACACGAGCAUGUGGUCGGCGUGUGACCCAAGUUAGCUUUGACCAUGGCCAAGGCACACGGGCGUGUAUCUGGCUGUGUGGUGCAAGUCAGUAUGUAUGCUCUGUUUUUCCACGACUUAAACACAUGGGUGUGUCUAAUGUCGUGUGAAGCACACGGCCUGUUCACAUAGGCGUGUGACAUUUGAAAUGUUGAAAAUUUUAUAAGUUUCUAAAAUUUUUAGUUGUUACCAAUUUAGUCCCAAUGCAUAAUUAAGACUUCGUAUGAUUGAUUUAAGAAUAUUUUGAAUGUGAAUGAUUGAUGGUUACUGAAAUGUGAUGAGAUUUGUUAAAUGAAUGUUUUGAAUUGAGUUACAGGUCUGGUAAUGCCUUUUAACCAAUUCUGGCAACGGUUACAGGUUAGGGGUGUUACAGGAACUACUCUGAUUUUUGGCGAUCGUCAAUCCGUUCAUGAUCUAAAACAAUAAUUUCAUUCAAUUAAGUGCUUCUAGAUAUCAAUUUAAUCCAUAAUUUAUUUAUAUGAGAAAUUACUAUUUUACCCCUAGUAUUUUAACUUUUCACAAUCUAAAACAAAACAUUCUAAUCCUCCAUUCCAACUAACCAAGUUUAUCAAAGACUUAUAUCAACUCAAAGAAGCCCUUAUUUCAUAAAUUUAACACAUAUUCUUUUCCAUUUUUACAAAUCAAUCCCUAAAUACAAAUUUCAUUAAAAUUCACUUUACAAAACUUGUUUAUUCCUCAACAAAGAUUCAUUAUUAAACAUAAAACAUCAAAAAUCACUUAAGAAAAAUCAUGGCAUAACCCUUAAUCUAUAACAAUUUUAUGAAUUGGUCCCCGGGCUAGUUAAAUUAAGCUAUAAUGACUUCAAAAACAUAGAAAUCAUUAAAAACUAGAUAGAAAUUAAUUACAUGCAAGCAAUGAGAUGUAACCGAAUGUUCAACGCUCAAAAGUGGUGCUUUGUUCUUGUAUUUUCGGUGGUGUUUUACAACAAAGAAGAUGAUAUCUUCUUUUACAUUAUUUUACUUCCUUUAUUUAUUAAUUUACAAAAUCAACCUUAGUAAUUAACCUUUAAAAUACUUAAUAAGAUGUCUAUAUUUGUCCACUCAUAAUAAUAAUGGGUUAUUUAUCACAUAAAUCCCUCGACCAAAUAAUUUCAUAGCCAUUCGGUACCUUUAACUUAUAGAACUCUAGUUUUGCAUCUUUUACGAUUUAAUCCUUUUCACCAAAUUAAACAUGCAAAUGAUAAAAUUUCUUAACGAAAUUUUUAUUCGACCUUGGUAAUAUUUCGUAGACACUAAAGUAGUAAAAACAUAAAUUUUUUGCGUCAGAUUUGUGGUCCCGAAACCAUUGUUCCAAUUUCACUGAAAACAGGCUGUUACAACUCUCCCCCUUAAAGGAAUUUUUGUCCCCGAAAAUCUUACCAGAAAAUAGGUUUGGGUACAGUGAUUUCAUCAAUUCUUCUUUCUCUCACAUAGCCUCUUCAACCUUGUGACGAUUCCAGAAAAUUUAACAACAGUACCUUUUUGUUCUGGAGUUCUUUUACUUCAUGCGAUAAAAUCUUGAAUGGUUCUUCAAAAUACGACAAAUUAGGCUGAAUCUCAACCUUACAAGGGUUUAUAAUAUGUGAGGGAUCAGACCUAUAACGUUUUAGCAUAGAAACAUGAAAAACAUUAUGGAUCUUUUCAAGCUCCGAGGGUAAAGCCAACUUGUACGCCAUAGGACCAACUCUUUCAAUUAUCACGUACGGCUCGACAAACCUCAGACCCAACUUUCCUUUUUUUACCAAAACGUAGUAUCUUUUUCAGGGAGAUACUUUUAAAAACACUCAAUCACCCACAGUAAACUCAAUAUUCUUACGCUUCAAAUCUGCGUAUGAUUUCUAAUGAUCCAUUGCGGCAUUCAAGCUAUUCCGAAUGGUCCUGACUUUAUCUUCAGUAUCCCGAAUUAAAUCAUCUCCUUCAAGCUUCCUCUCACUCAACUCUGACAAACAUAACAGACUCCUACAUUUACACCCAUAAAGAGCUUCAUACGGUGCCAUGUUCAAGCUCACUUGGUAGCUGUUAUUGUAAGCAAACUCAACUAAAGACAAAAUUUUCUCCCAGCUACCCUCAAACUCAAUAAUGCAACACUGAAGCAUGUCUUCUAAAAUUUGAAUCAUUCAUUCAGUUUGACCGUUCGUUUGAGGAUGGAAACCUGUACUAAACUUCAAUUUUGUACCCAACACCUCGUGCAAUUCACCCCAAAAUCUUGAGGUAAACCUCGUAUCACGAUCUAAAAUUAUGAAUAAUGGAACACCAUGAAAUCUAACAAUCUCAUUAACAUAGAGUUCGGCUAAUUUUUCCAACAAAUAAUCGAUCCGUACAGGUAUGAAAUGUGCAGAUUUCAUUAGUCGAUCUACAAUAAUCCAAAUUGCAUCUUUCUUUCUCGACGUUAACGACAAUCCUAUGAUGAAAUCCAUUGUAACUUGGUCCCAUUUCCACUCCGGAAUCAUGACCAAUUACAAUAACCCAGAUGAAACUUGGUGCUCAGCUUUUACUUGUUAAAACACCAGACAUUUUGAUACGAAAUAAAAAAUUUCUUGUUUCAUUCUAGGCCAAAAAUAAAACUGUUUCAAAUCAGCAUACAUCUUCGAACUUCCCGGAUGGAUAGAGUACACACUACUAUGAGCUUCUUUUAAACAAAUUUUUCUUAAGUUGCAGAUCAUCAAGUACACAUAACCUUUUUCAAAAAUACAAAUUUCCAUCAUCAUAAAUGUUACACUCAAUUUUUGACCAAUCUCAACCAUCUUUCGUUUGGCCACUAACUUCAAAUCAACAAGCUGUAAUUCUCGUAUAUUUUGUAAAAACAAGCUUGAGCUCGGCUAAGAUAGAACCAUCGCACUUCAUCUGUAAUUCAGAAUUCAUUGCUCAAAAGGUGAAAAGAGAUUUACGGCUCAAAGCGUCAGCAACCACAUUUGCUUUUCCAAAAUGAUAAUCAAUCACAAGUUCGUAAUCCUUUAACAAUUCUAACCAUCUAUGCUGUCUCAGAUUAAAUUCUUUUUGGGUCAUUAAAUAUUUCAAGCUCUUGUGAUCAGUAUACACAUAGCACUUUUCUCCAUACAAAUAAUGACGCCAAAUUUUUAAAGCAAACACAAUCGCUGCUAAUUCUAGAUCAUGCGUCGAAUAAUUCUUUUCAUGAACUUUCGGUUGCUGAGAGGCAUACGCGAUGGCUUUUCCUUCUUGCAUUAAGACACACCCCAAGCCAUUCAAAAAGGCAUCACUAUAAACAACAAAUUCCUUCCCCGUUUCAGGUUGCGUUAACACUGUAACUUCUGCCAAUAAAAUUUUUAAUCUUUCGAAGCUUUGCUAACACUUAUCCCACCAAACGAAACAUACAUCUUUUUGCAAUAGUUUCGUCAUAGGUGAAGCUAUAAUCAAAAAAUUCUUCACAAAACAACGAUAGUGUAACACCCCGAACCCGAGACCGUCACCGGAGUCGAACACGAGGUGUUAACAGACUUUAAACCACUUAUAAAAAAUUUUCCCAGACACUGCCAAUCUGCGUACUAGUCGCUUAAAAAAUCAUAUCUUGAGUUCAGAAACUCAGAAUCCAGUUCCGUAAAUUUUCCCUGAAACUAGACUCAAAUUCCCAUCUACAUAUUUUUUCUAGAAUUUUUGGUUAGGCCAAUUAGUAUAGUUUAUUAGUCAAAGUCUCCCAUGUUACAGGGAUCGACUACACUGACCUUUGCGCAUUACGACUUAGAUAUCUCCCUGUACAGGGCUUCAAUACUGAUGUCGUUUGUUUCUAUAGAAACUAGACUCAAAGAGGAAUCUAUACAUAUAUGGCAUGACUCCUAAUUAUCUCCGGUUAAUUUAUAAUGAAUUUCCAAAGUCGAAACAGGGAAUCCAGAAACCGUUCUGGCCCUGUCUUACGAGAACCUGAAUAUCUCUUAACAUACUAUCCAUAUGAUCGUUUCGUUACUUUCCUAUGAAAAUAGAUUCAUCAAGGUUCGUUUACAUAAUUUAUUCACUAUUUAAUUCCCUUCCUACUAUUUUUAGUGAUUUUCCAAAUCUACAUCACUGCUGCUGUCAGCAUCUGCCUUUAAGGUAGACUUUACCUAUUUCAUAGUUUCCAUGAUUCAACUAGCCCUUUUAGCAUAAAUAGCACAUACGAAACAUACCUUAAUGUUGGGAUGUUUCAAGCGUAUUAACUGAAAUUUUUACAGCAAGAUCAUUCAUUCCCAAAUCACGUACCUUCGGAAUUUAACCGGAUAUAGCUACUCGUUCAAAUGCCUUCGGGACAUAGCCCGGUUAUAGUAACUCGCACAAAUGCCUUCGGGACUUAACCCGGAUUUAGUAACUCGCACAAAUGCCUUCGGGCUUAGCCCGAAAUUAGUAUCUCGCACAAAUGCCUUCGGAUCUUAGUCCGAAUAUGGUCACUUAGCACAAAGCCUUCGGGACUUAGCCCGGACAUCAUUCAAAUAACCAUGCACAUUUAACAAUAAAUCAUGGCACAUUCGUAUUUCGUUUUCGUUAGCAAAACUCAAACACAAGACACUUAUCAUUCUUGCAAUUUCGGCUCAAUAGCCACACACAAAGAGCAUGAUUUUGAUUUGCUUAAAACAUGAUCUAAUCAAAUCAUAAUUUAAGCUCUUUUACUCAAGAACUUACCUCGGAUGUUGUCGAACGAUUCCGAUAGCUAUUCGACCACUUUUUCCUUCCCUUUAUCGGAUUUAGUUCCCCUUUGCUCUUGAGCUUAAUUAAACAAAUAAAUUGAUUUAAUCAUUUGAGCAUCGAAAAGAGGAACACAAGGCACUUAGCCCAUAUUUAUACAUUAGACAUUAAAGUCACAUAUGUACGGAAUCAUGAAUCAAACUCAACAUUUUAGCUAAUUUUCCCCCUUGGCCGAAUUUUCUAAGCCAAGACAAAAGCAUCAAUAUGCUUGCCUCUAACCGAAUACAUGCAACACCAAUCUCCUUCCUAUGGCCGAAUAUGCAUGUCUAUGUUGGGGCCGAUUGCAACACUUAAUACAUUCUACAAGUAUGGUCACUUGUAUUGACUAAACACCAUUUUGUUUCAAGUUCAAAACUUGGCUAAUACACACAUAUAUACACUAGUAAAGCAUCCUCUCCCUUUCCAUCAAUUUAACACAUGCAUUACUCAUUAAUAUACAAAAAUUAUAUUCGGCCUUAGCACACAACUUGCUAGCCGAUUCUUCUCCAUCUAGCAACCAAUGCACAUAUGUGCUCACUCAAAAAUGCUAAAAAGAAGAUUCAAGAAUCAUCAAUCCACCAUCACAUGCAUCAUUAACAAGCUUCAUAUUUAGCAUGCAAUGGCAUUAACACAAAAUCCACCUAGGCCGAAUAUCAUCCCCAUGACAUAGCAAAGAUUUGAACCAUGGGCUAAUUAGAACUCAAGCUAGCAACUAAAAACAUGCAUGAAUCUCAUGGCACAACCUCAAACAUACCUUGAUCUAGAUACAAGUAUGGCCAAACCUCCUCCUAAUCCUCUUCCAAACCAAACAUGAAGCAAGAACUCCGUCCUCCUUCCUUAGAAUUUUCGGCCAAAAGAAGAUGAAAAAGGAUGAACAAAAUUUUUCUUUUCUUUUCUUUAACUCACGGCAAUGGGGGGGGCAUGGAUGAGACCAUUCUCUUUUUUUUUUCAUCACUCUUCCCUUUCAUUAUUUAAUUACCAUGCUCAUUAUUUUAUUGUUUCCACCCAUGAUGCACCAACACAACAUGUCUAUGACAUGUCUUGCCCAUCACACUUUGUCUACCAUACUUGUCAUGGCCGGCCACUACUAAUAGAGGGGGAAAUUGACAUGCAAGUCCCCCCUUUUUCAACAUGCACUAAUCGGUCCUUAUGCUUUGACCUAUCACAUUUCAAAAUUUUCUCACAUAAGUCCUAUUUACUAAAACUCACAUGCAAUCGACUAAAUCGAAGCUUGAAAUUUUCACACAUUCAUAAUUACAUAUUCUAGAUAAUAAAUAUCACAUUCGAACAUUUCGGUGACUCGGUUUAGCGGUCCCGAAACCACUUCCCGACUAGGGUCAAUUUUGGGCUGUCACAACUCUCCCCCACUUAAGAAAUUUUCGUCCCCGAAAAUCUUACCGGUAAAUAGGUUUGGGUAUCGUUCUUUCAUCGAGCUCUCGAUUUCCCAAGUAGCUUCCUCGAUCCCGUGUUUGAGCCAUAACACCUUAACUAACGGAACCCUUUUGUUUCGCAACUCUUUCACUUCACGAGCUAGGAUACGAAUCGGUUCUUCUUCAUAACUCAAGUCAGAUUGAAUUUCAACUUCUGAGGGAUUAAUCACAUGUGACGGAUCGGAUCUAUAACGUCGAAGCAUCGAAACAUGAAAGACAUCGUGAAUCUUUUCAAGUUCAGGGGGCAAAAUCAAUCUAUACGCAACCGGACCAACUCGUUCGGAGAUUUCGUACGGCCCAAUGAAUCUCGGGCUCAACUUGCCCUUACGGCCAAAUCUGAGUACCUUUUUCCAAGGCGAAACUUUAAGAAACACUUUAUCUCCCACCUGAUAUUCAAUGUCUUUUCGUUUCAAAUCCGCAUACGAUUUUUGACGAUCUGUGGCUGCCUUCAGACUUUCACGGAUUACCUUUACUUUCUGUUCGGCAUCUUUAAUCAAAUCAACUCCGAAAAUUUUACUUUCACCGAGCUCUGUCCAAAACAAUGGUGUACGGCAUUUACGACCGUACAAAGCCUCGUAAGGUGCCAUCUUAAUACUUGAUUGAAAACUAUUGUUGUAAGCGAAUUCAAUCAAAGGUAAAUACCGUUCCCAUGAACUACUGAACUCGAGGAUGCAACAUCUCAACAUAUCCUCAAGUAUCUGAAUUAUCCGCUCGGAUUGACCAUCGGUUUGGGGGUGAAAAGCAGUGCUAAAAUGCAGCUUGGUACCCAAAGCUUCUUGCAAUUUCUUCCAAAAUCGUGAGGUGAAUCUCGGAUCUCUAUCCGACACGAUAGAAAUAGGUACCCCGUGUAAUCUCACAAUCUGAGAAACGUACAAUUCAGCUAGUUUAUCAAAUGAAAAAUCCGUACGCACGGGGAUAAAGUGAGCCGACUUAGUCAGUCUAUCGACAACAACCCAAAUCGCAUCUUUCUUACUUGCUGACAAUGGCAGUCUGGACACAAAGUCCAUUGUGACUCGAUCCCAUUUCCACUCGGGUAUCAUGAUCGGCUGAAGUAAUCCUGAAGGCACUUGAUGUUCUCCUUUCACUUGUUGACAUAUUAAACAUCUCGAAACAAAGUCGGAGAUGUCUCGUUUCAUACCAUGCCACCAAAACCGACGUUUCAAAUCGUUGUACAUUUUCGUACUCCCCGGGUGAAUAGACAUUCGGCUACAAUGGGCUUCGUUUAGAAUCAUCGAAAUGAGUUCCGAAUUCCUUGGAACACACAAACGACUUCUGAACCUCAAACAAUCAUCAUCAUCAAUUUGAAACUCCGAUUCCUUGUUCGGAACACACUCAGCCCAUUUUGCAACCAAUUCAUCAUCAACUUUCUGGGCUUCACGAAUUUGAUGAAUCAAUAAUGGUUUGGCUUUUAAUUCAGCUACUAACACAUUGUCGGGUAGAACAGACAAGUGCACAUUCAUCGCUCGUAAAGCAAACAAUGAUUUCCGGCUUAAGGCGUCUGUAACCACAUUAGCCUUUCCCGGGUGGUAAUCAAUGACAAGCUCGUAAUCUUUCAACAACUCAAGCCAACGUCUUUGUCGCAGAUUUAAGUCUCUUUGAGUCAUCAAAUAUUUGAGACUUUUGUGAUCCGAAAAUACAUGGCACUUUUCACCAAAUAAGUAAUGUCGCCAUAUUUUUAAAGCAAAUACGAUGGCAGCUAGUUCAAGAUCAUGGGUCGGAUAAUUUUUCUCAUGUGGCUUUAAUUGUCUCGACGCAUAGGCCACCACUCGACCUUCUUGCAUCAAUACGCAACCCAACCCAAGUAGGGAUGCGUCACUAUAAAUGACAAACUCUUUGCCUGAUUCGGGUUGCACUAAAAUUGGAGCUUCAGUCAAAUAAGUUUUCAGUUGAUCGAAACUUUUCUGACAUUUCUCCGUCCAUUCGAACUUAACAUCCUUUUGAAGUAGCUUCGUCAUUGGUGUGGCUAUCAUCGAGAAACCUUUGACAAAUCGUCGGUAAUAACUGGCGAGUCCCAAAAAGCUCCGAACCUCAGUAAUAUUUCUCGGAGGUUUCCAGUUAAGUAUGGCUGAAAUUUUGUUUGGGUCAACUCGAAUACCCGAUGCGGAUACCACAUGACCCAAUAAGCUAACCUCUCUUAACCAGAACUCACACUUACUGAACUUAGCAUAUAACUGUUUAUCCCGCAAAAUUUGCAACACUAGUCUCAGGUGCUCAGCAUGUUCGGUCUCAUCUCUUGAAUAGACCAAGAUGUCAUCAAUGAACACAACUACGAACCGAUCCAAAUAUGGUCUGAAGAUCCGAUUCAUCAAAUCCAUAAAUACCGCAGGGGCAUUAGUGAGCCCAAACGGCAUCACUAAGAAUUCGUAGUGACCAUAUCUCGUUCUGAAGGCAGUUUUGGGUAUGUCCGAAUCUCGAAUUCGCAACUGAUAAUAGCCCGAUCUCAAAUCUAUUUUUGAGAACACUAAGGCUCCUUUUAGUUGAUCAAACAAAUCAUCAAUACGCGGUAAUGGAUAUUUAUUCUUUAUCGUCACUUUAUUCAGUUGACGAUAGUCAAUGCACAACCUCAUGGUUCCGUCCUUCUUUUUCACGAACAAUACUGGUGCACCCCAAAGUGAGAAACUUGGUCGAGCAAAACCUCUAUCCGUCAAUUCUUGCAACUGAGCUUUCAACUCUUUUAACUCGGUUGGUGCCAUACGAUACAGAGCUAUCAAAAUCGGCAUGGUCCCAGGUACAAGCUCAAUACCAAACUCUAUCUCCCGAACAGGUGGUAAACCCGGUAAUUCUUCAGGAAAAACAUCCGGGUAUUCACAAACCACCGGCACAGAUUCGGGUUUCUUUUCUAAUUCUUUGUCAUCAAGUACAUACGCAAGGUAUGCUUCGCACCCUUUUCUUACAUAUUUCUGGGCCAACAUUGAGGAUAUUACAGCUGACAACCCCUUUAAGUCCGUAGACUCAACUCGGAUCAUCUCGUUAUUUGCGCACCUCAAAUCAAUAGUCUUGCUUUUGCAAUUCACAACCGCAUCAUGCGCGGUCAACCAAUCCAAACCAAGAAUAACAUCAAAUUCAUCAAACGGCAAAAGCAUCAAGUCCGCCGGAAAACAGGAACCUCGAAUUACUAGGGGACAUUUCUUACACACUUUGUCGACAAGCACGUAACGACCCAAGGGAUUUGACACCCGAAUUACGAACUCAGUAGACUCAAUAGGUAAAGUCUUACUGGAUGCUAAGGUUUCACAUAUGUAAGAAUGAGUAGAACCGGGGUCAAUCAAAGCAAUUACAUUAGUAUCAAAGAGAGUAAAAGUACUGGUAAUAACAUCAGGCGAAGAAGCAUCCUCGUGGGCACGUAUAGCAUAAGCUCUAGCAGGCGCACGAGCCUCGGAUCUGGUCGUAGCAUCUCUAGAUCCUCUCUGACCACCACUAGCAUUGCCCGUAUUUCCAGAUGGUCUACCUCGAGCAGUGGUAGCACCCGGUUUCCCACUCUGAUUUACAUUCUGUUCAGACAACCUCGAGCAAUCUUUAAUGAAGUGGUCAACUGAUCCGCACUUGUAACAGGAGCGGUCAGGGAAUCUACAACUCCCCGAAUGCCAUUUAUCGCAAUAUCGACAUUUCGUUCUGUCUCGACGUUCAUUCCCAACACUGGCGACCGAAGUGCCUCGUGUACCCACAGGGGGUUGAUCACGAUCUCGUCUAAAAAGGCCUGAAGUGCCUCUAGACCGGCCCACAUCAUCUCGAAAUUUCUUCGAUGCCUGUUGAAGAGACUUUCUCGAGGAUCUUUUAUGAAACUCUCCAGUUCCCACAUCAACUUUUUGUUUUUCUUUUCUAAGCUCUUCGGCUUUACAAGCUCGCUCGACAAGUACUACGAACUCUCGUAUUUCAAGAAUGCCCACGAACAUUUUUAUAUCUUCAUUCAGCCCAUCCUCGAAGCGUUUACACAUGAUAGCCUCAGACGAAACACAUUCCCGAGCAUACCUACUAAGUCUAACAAAAUUUCGCUCGUAAUCAGUAACUGACAUAGAACCUUGCUUAAGCUCAAGAAAUUCCUUCCGUUUUUGAUCAACAAAUCUCUGACUGAUACACUUUUUCCGAAACUCAGUUUGGAAAAACUCCCAAGUUACUUGCUCUCGGGGCACAACAGAAGUCAGAGUACUCCACCAAUAGUAGGCAGAAUCGCGUAGCAAGGAGAUAGUACACUUUAGGCAUUCAUCGGGUGUACAAGAUAGCUCAUCGAGUACCCGGAUAGUGUUGUCCAACCAAAAUUUAGCUUGCUCGGCAUCGUCGCUAUCCGUAGCUUUAAAUUCAGUAGCCCCAUGUUUUCGGAUUCUGUCAACUGGGGGCUUAUUUGACCUUAUUUGGUCAGUUUCUGGAGGUAUUGUAGGUGCGGAGGUGGUGUUAGUUGGGAAUGGAGGUUGUGGAACAGCCGUAUUAGUUCGAAUGUAUUGGUUGAACCAAUCAUUCAUCACGCUAUAGAAAGCUUGUCUAGCUUCAUCAUUCGGGUUACUAGCAUUAGGUUGAGAGUCCGCCGGCGCUGUCCCUUGUGCGGGAGCAGGCGCUACACUCUCAAGAUCAUCAGCUACCGCUCGGUCGGGAUCGGGAUCCAUUACUAUAAAUAAACACAUUUACAAUUGUCAGAAAUCACCACACUAUCAAAUAAUCACAUAAAAUGGCAUGUAUAGCUAGACCCAACGCAUUACGGUAGUCCUAGAAUCGACUAAACCGUAGCUCUGAUACCAAUCAAAUUGUAACACCCCGAACCCGAGACCGUCACCGGAGUCGAACACGAGGUGUUAACAGACUUUAAACCACUUAUAAAAAAUUUUCCCAGACACUACCAAUCUGCGUACUAGUCGCUUAAAAAAUCAUAUCUUGAGUUCAGAAACUCGGAAUCCAGUUCCGUAAAUUUUCCCUGAAACUAGACUCAUAUGCCCAUCUACAUAUUUUUUCUAGAAUUUUUGGUUGGGCCAAUUAGUACAGUUUAUUAGUCAAAGUCUCCCAUGUUACAGGGAUCGACUACACUGACCUUUUUGCAUUACGACUUAGAUAUCUCCCUGUACAGGGCUUCAAUACUGAUGUCGUUUGUUUCUAUAGAAACUAGACUCAAAGAGGAAUCUAUACAUAUAUGGCAUGACUCCUAAUUAUCUCCGGUUAAUUUAUAAUGAAUUUCCAAAGUCGAAACAGGGAAUCCAGAAACUGUUCUGGCCCUGUCUUACGAGAACCUGAAUAUCUCUUAACAUACUGUCCAUAUGAUCGUUUCGUUACUUUCCUAUGAAAAUAGAUUCAUCAAGGUUCGUUUACAUAAUUUAUUCACUAUUUAAUUCCCUUCCUACUAUUUUUAGUGAUUUUCCAAAUCUACAUCACUGCUGCUGUCAGCAUCUGCCUUUAAGGUAGACUUUACCUAUUUCAUAGUUUCCAAGAUUCAACUAGCCCUUUUAGCAUAAAUAGCACAUACGAAACAUACCUUAAUGUUGGGAUGUUUCAAGCGUAUUAACUGAUAUUUUUACAGCUAGAUCAUUCAUUCCCAAAUCACGUACCUUCGGAAUUUAACCGGAUAUAGCUACUCGUUCAAAUGCCUUCGGGACAUAGCCCGGUUAUAGUAACUCGCACAAAUGCCUUCGGGACUUAACCCGGAUUUAGUAACUCGCACAAAUGCCUUCGGGAUUAGCUCGGAAUUAGUAUCUCGCACAAAUGCCUUCGGAUCUUAGUCCAGAUAUGGUCACUUAGCACAAAGCCUUCGGGACUUAGCCCGGACAUCAUUCAAAUAACCAUGCACAUUUAACAAUAAAUCAUGGCACAUUCGUAUUUCGUUUUCGUUAGCAAAACUCAAACACAAGACACUUAUCAUUCUUGCAAUUUCGGCUCAAUAGCCACACACAAAGAGCAUGAUUUUGAUUUGCUUAAAACAUGAUCUAAUCAAAUCAUAAUUUAAGCUCUUUUACUCAAGAACUUACCUCGGAUGUUGUCGAACGAUUCCGAUAGCUAUUCGACCACUUUUUCCUUCCCUUUAUCGGAUUUAGUUCCCCUUUGCUCUUGAGUUUAAUUAAACAAAUAAAUUGAUUUAAUCAUUUGAGCAUCGAAAAGAGGAACACAAGGCACUUAGCCCAUAUUUAUACAUUAGACAUUAAAGUCACAUAUGUACGGAAUCAUGAAUCAAACUCAACAUUUUAGCUAAUUUUCCCCCUUGGCCGAAUUUUCUAAGCCAAGACAAAAGCAUCAAUAUGCUUGCCUCUAACCGAAUACAUGCAACACCAAUCUCCUUCCUAUGGCCGAAUAUGCAUGUCUAUGUUGGGGCCGAUUGCAACACUUAAUACAUUCUACAAGUAUGGUCACUUGUAUUGACUAAACACCAUUUUGUUUCAAGUUCAAAACUUGGCUAAUACACACAUAUAUACACUAGUAAAGCAUCCUCUCCCUUUCCAUCAAUUUAACACAUGCAUUACUCAUUAAUAUACAAAAAUUAUAUUCGGCCUUAGCACACAACUUGCUAGCCGAUUCUUCUCCAUCUAGCAACCAAUGCACAUAUGUGCUCACUCAAAAAUGCUAAAAAGAAGAUUCAAGAAUCAUCAAUCCACCAUCACAUGCAUCAUUAACAAGCUUCAUAUUUAGCAUGCAAUGGCAUUAACACAAAAUCCACCUAGGCCGAAUAUCAUCCCCAUGACAUAGCAAAGAUUUGAACCAUGGGCUAAUUAGAACUCAAGCUAGCAACUAAAAACAUGCAUGAAUCUCAUGGCACAACCUCAAACAUACCUUGAUCUAGAUACAAGUAUGGCCAAACCUCCUCCUAAUCCUCUUCCAAACCAAACAUGAAGCAAGAACUCCUUCCUCCUUCCUUAGAAUUUUCGGCCAAAAGAAGAUGAAAAAGGAUGAACAAAAUUUUUCUUUUCUUUUCUUUAACUCACGGCAAUGGGGGGCAUGGAUGAGACCAUUCUCUUUUUUUUUCAUCACUCUUCCCUUUCAUUAUUUAAUUACCAUGCUCAUUAUUUUAUUGUUUCCACCCAUGAUGCACCAACACAACAUGUCUAUGACAUGUCUUGCCCAUCACACUUGGUCUACCAUACUUGUCAUGGCCGGCCACUACUAAUAGAGGGGGGGGGGAAAUUGACAUGCAAGUCCACCCUUUUUCAACAUGCACUAAUAGGUCCUUAUGCUUUGACCUAUCACAUUUCAAAAUUUUCUCACAUAAGUCCUAUUUACUAAAACUCACAUGCAAUCGACUAAAUCGAAGCUUGAAAUUUUCACACAUUCAUAAUUACAUAUUCUAGACAAUAAAUAUCACAUUCAAACAUUUCGGUGACUCGAUUUAGCGGUCCCGAAACCACUUCCCGACUAGGGUCAAUUUUGGGCUAUCACAGAUAGUACCCAGCUAACCCUAAAAAGCUUCGUAAUUUAUAUACAUUUUGUGGGUUUUUCCAAUUUAAAAUAGCCAAAAGUUUGCCCAGAUAAACUCUUAUACCAUCUCUUGAGAUCACAUGUCUAAGGAAUCCCAAUUCAAUUAGCCAAAAUUCACAUUUACUAAAUUUAGCAUACAGUUUCUUUUCUUGUAAAGUCUGCAAUACAAUCUUCAGAUGUUGAACAUGUUCGUCUUCACUUUUAAAAUAAAUCAAAAUGUCAUCAAUAAACACAACAACAAAAUGAUCAAAUGGGGCUGGAAAACUCGGUUCAUUAAAUCCAUAAAUGUUUCCAGAGCAUUUUUCAUUCCAAAUGGCAUGACCAAAUACUCAUAAUUUCCAUAGCAAGUUGUAAUGAUAUCUUUGGUACAUCUACAUCUUUCACUUACAACUGAUAAUAUUCCGAUCGAAGGUUAAUUUUUGAAAAUACCAAAGCUCUUUUCAAUUGAUAAAAAAGAUCAUCAAUACGAGGUAACGAAUAUUUAUUUUUAUAUUCGUCUUGUUCAAUUGAGGAAAAUCAAUGCGCAAUUUCAAUGACCCAUCUUUCUUUUUAAAAAACAACACAAGUGCAACCCAGGGUGAUACACUUGGUCUAAUAAAACCUCUGUCUAUUAGUUCUUGUAACAUGCUUUAAGUUCUUUAAGUUCAGUUGGAGCCAUUCAAUACGGCAAAAUCGAAAUUAGAGCAGUACCGGGUACUAACUCAAUGACAAAUGCAACUCUCGCUUCGGUGGUAAACCUAGUAAUUCUUCAGGGAAAGCAUUUGGGAAAUCACAAACCAUUGGCACUUGAUCCACUUUCUUCUCUGACACUUUGGAAUCCAAAAUAUAAGCCCAAAACGUUUCACAACCUUUUUGCAUUAACUUAUGUGCUUUCAUUGCCAAAAUAUUAUUUGAAAUACCAUCUAAUCUCUUGGACCUAAUAAAGAUUACUUCACUGUUAGAACCUUUCAACUCAAAUCUUUUUUGAUGACAACAAACCACAGCAUCAUGCAUGUUUAACAAAUCCAUACACAAGAUGACAUUAAACUCAUUGAAGGGUAACAACAAUAAGUUAGCAGGAAAUUUACUGUAACAUCCCUUACCGUAUCCGAUGCCGAAAUAGGGUUCGAGGCAUUACCAGACUUAAACGUAAUCAAACAUACAAAAUCGAGCCAUAAAAUUUCAUCCAAAUUUAAAACUUUUCAAUCACAUGCAAAAUGUCCCUUAUAAGGGCAUACGAGGCCCAAAACAUACAUCGGAAGUGGUUUGGGACUAAACCAAUCACUUUUGGAACCUUUUUGACACUUAGGAAAAUUUUCUUGUUUUGAGGAGUCACACGCCCGUGUGGGUAAGUCGUGUGGUCACACACGCCCGUUUGGCAUGGGACACGCCCGUGUCCUCAGCCAGUGUAACUCUUUGACGAUGAUGUCAUCAUACAAUUAAGGAUACACAGCCAAGUCACACGCCCGUGUGAUUAGGCCAUGUGGCGACUUAAAUUUCAAAAAUUAAGUGCAGACUUCACACGGCCUAGGCACAAGCCCAUGUCUUGAGACCGUGUCCUCUACAUGGUUGAGACACAUGGCCGUGUCUCUGCCUAUGUGUUUACCAUUGGGCAUUCUGUUUUGCAUUCAUUAGGGUACAGGGGACACACAGCCAGACCACGCGCCCAUGGGGCAGACCGUGUGUCACACACGGCCUAGACAUACACCCGUGUGGACAAUUUCUAGGCUAUUUUCCAAGCCAUUUGUUACCCUUAAGCACUCACACACUUAAACCCACUUUAUGGCAUGCAACAUGGCACCCUUAGUUACUCAAGCAUUCACACACAUAGUUGAUUUAUAACUUAGUAGUAUCAACAUAUCACAUACUUAGACGAUUUGGCUUUCAUAUGGAAUUCUACACCAAUUUCAUAUUUAUUCAUCAUUAUACCACAUUUAUUGUCAUACUUAUUAAUCAUAUUUCAUACAUUAAAUAUACAUGCCAUCCAUCACACUCAUUAACAUAAUCAACCACAAGCCUCAUCAAACUAAUACCUUAAGCAUGCAACCCAUAUCUCAUCACAUAUCCAUCAAACAACCACAACAAGCAUAAACACAUUGCUUGUAUGCAUAACUAAUUAGGGUUACAACCCAAAUAAACAAUAUGAGCCACCUCUCAUGGCCAUAUACAAAAUGAAUCAUAAUAUCAUCAUGAGCCUCACACUUGGCUAAUCAAUAUGACAAAUAAUAAAAAAAACUAAGUCCCUAUACAUGCCAUAUUCAAAAUGUUGAAUCUAACUAUACCAAAUUUCCCAAUUGAUAGUGUGAUCGAAAACUCCAACGUCCUCCAAUCCCCGAGCUAGCUUAGCGACACUAUAAGGAAAGGAAAGGAAAGGGGGUAAGCUAUAAAGCUUAGUAAGUUCACAUGAAAAUAAUAAUAAGCAACAUAAAUCAUACAAUUAACAUAAGGCAAAGUUUCAUAAAUGUCAUCAAGUCUCACAAGCGUAACUUUCUCAUAUGCAUUCUUACCACAUGUUCAUAGCAUACCGAGAUCUUUAAUCAUGAGUUUAUGUGCAUACAUGUACCAACUUGCACAUAAUACUUACUUUCUCGUCUUUGACGUGUUCAUUAAGAUUACCCAUGGAACUUCUUUUUGAACUACCAGUUGAACACUUGAAAUACCAGUGGACGCAUUGGAAACUCGCACCAAAGUGCCCUAUAUGUAGCCAUCGCUACCUCAUAUCAUAUAUCACAUGUUGCUCGCUUUCAAGCUACUCAUGGGUUAGCUCACACAAGCUAUAGGUCAAGAUGCAGCUACACGGGCUGCUCACACAAGCUGUCAGGUAUCCACAACACAUUUCAAACUACCCAGCCACUGGUAGACAUACAAGACUAGUACUCGGAACACCAAAACAUGUCUCACAUAUAUCCUAAACUUAGACCACAACUCAUGAGCUCAGAUCACAUAAUUCCUGGUGACAUGUCACUUGUAUCCUAAACAAUUCCUAUGCUUCAAACAGGAUUCUUUGAUACCACAUUUUCGUUGAGCUUGCUCGUAAUAUCGAUUUCAAUAUCCAUAGCACCAAUCACGUACUCAUGGAAUAAUCAAGCAUAAUUCAUAAUAAUAUUUAAGCAUUAACACAUGGUACAAUAUCACAUUAAUCAUAUAUAUAUAUACUUACCAUACAUGCAAUAUUAAAGCACUUAAAGUAUGGUACAUGUUGUAUUAUUUGCAAAUGAACUUACCUCAGAACAAAAUGAUGCGAACGAGCCUAAUCCUCGUAAACUUUGUUUUUCUCCUGAUCAAGACCCGAAUCAAGUUUUUCUUGAUCUAUAAUGCCAAAUUUAACUUGCUCAAUACACACAUUGCUCAUAUCGACCCAUAGCACAUACUUUGGUAAAAUUACCUUUUUACCCCUAACUUUUCACUUAUUUACACUUUAGUCCUUAGGCUCGUAAAAUGAAAUGCAUACAUUUUCUUUGUUAUCCAAGCCUAGCCGAUUCAUAUUCUAUCUUAUAUCAGCCCAUAUUUCUCAUUAAAUCACAUUUCUACUGCUCAUUUCUUCAUCUUUUACAAAUAAGUCCUUUUAGGUGUUUUCACUAAAAAUCACUUAAUAAAAGAUGUUUAUGACACAUCAAACAUUCAUAUUCUUCCAUUAAACAUCAAAAUACAAACAUGUCACACAUGGGUCAAGUUCCAUACAUGAACCCUACUUCAAAAUAUGGCUAGAAAUGGGUAGAUCAUGCUUCAAGGAUCUCAAAAAUGUAAAGAACAUCAAAAACGGGACUUGGGAGCACUUACAAUCAAGCUUGAAACGUUCAAAACCCUAGUUAUGGAACCCUUGUAAAUUUCGGCACACAAGGAGGAAGAUGGAUACAUUUUUUACUAGAGUUUUCCCUUUUUAUUCUUUUAUUUACCAAAAAACAAAAUGCCUUUAAGGCAUUUCUUUCCAAUUUCUCCUAUUCAUGCCCAUUUUUGUCCAAAAUUAUGGUAAUUGGUCAAAUUUCUAUUUAAGACCUUCUAAUUUAUAAUUCAAUGCAAUUUCAUGCUUGAAGCUUCUAGAACACAAGUUUUACAACUUAUUCAAUGUAGUCCCUAAAGUCAAAUUGGACACCUUAGGUAUAUAAUUUCUUCAUGAAAAUUUCACACAAACAUGCAAUCAUAUCAUGGACCAUCAAAUAAUCAUAAAAUAAUUAUUUCUAUUUUAGAUUUGUGGUCUCAAAAUUACUGUUUCGACUGGACCCUAAUUUGGGAUGUUACAACUCUUCCUCCUUUAGGAUUUUCGUCCUUGAAAAUCUUACUAGUAAAAAGGUUUGGAUUUUGUUUUCUCAUGGCCUCUUCGGGCUCUCAUGUAGCCUCUUCAACCCCAUUUCUCUUCCAUAAAACCUUCACAAGGUCAAUACUUUUAUUCCUCAAUUGUUUGACUUCUCGAGCCAAAAUCUUAACCGGUUCCUCACCAUAAGUCAUAUCUGGUCGAAUUUCAACCUUUGUUAGUGAAAUCACAUGUGAAGGAUCAGAUCGAUAACGAUGCAACAUAGACACAUGAAGCACAUCAUGAGUCUUUUCCAACUCAGAUGGUAAAGUCAACAGAUAGGCAAGUAGCCCUAUUCUCUCGGUGAUCUCAUAUGGCCCUAUAAAAUGAGGACUCAACUUGCCCUUCUUGUUGAAUCUCAAAACCUUUUUCCAUGGAGAUACUUUCAAAAAUACCUUAUCACUUACUUGAUACUCAAUUUAUUUCCGUUUCAAAUCCGCAUAUGAUUUCUAUCUAUCCAAAGCGGCUUUCAAAAAAUCACGAAUUACCUUCACUUUCUCUUCAGUUUCUUUUACUAGAUCAACUCCGUGAAUCUGAUUUUCUUUGACCUCGGUCCAAUAUAAGGGUGUUCAACAUUUACGCCCAUACAAUGCCUCAUAAGGUGCCAUUUUCAAAUUCGACUAAUAACUAUUGUUGUAGGUAAACUCCACCAAUGGUAAGUACUUUUCCCAAUUACCUUGAAAUUCUAAUACACAACAUCGGAGCAUGUCUUCCAACAUCAUCAUGAGCCACACACUUGGCUAAUCAAUAUGGCACAUAACAAAAAGACCAAGUCCCUAUACAUGUCAAAUUCAAAAUGUUGAAUCUAACUAUACCAAAUUUUCCAAUUAAUAGUAUGAUCGAAAACUCUGGCGUCCUCCGAUCGCUGAGCUAGCUUGGUGACACUAUAAGGAAAUGAAAGGAAAGGAAAUGGGGUAAACUUUAAAGCUUAGUAAGUUCACAUGCAAAUAAUAAUAAGCAACAUAAAUUAUACAAUUAACAUAAGGCAAAGUUUCAUAAAUGUCAUCAAGUCUCAUGAGGAUAACUUUCUCAUAUGCAUUCUUACCACAUGUUCAUAGCAUACCGAGAUCUUUAAUCGUGAGUUUAUGUACAUACCUGUACCAACUUGCACAUAAUACUUACUUUCUCGUCUUUGACGUGUUCAUUAAGAUUACCCAUGGAACUUCUCUUUGAACUACCCAUUGAACACUUGAAAUACCAUCGAAUAUAUCGAAAACUCGCACCAAAGUGCCCUAUACGUGGCCAACCCUACCUCAUAUCAUAUCUCACAUGUUGCUCGCUUUCGAGCUAAUCACGGUUCAGCUCACACAAGCUAUAGGUUAGGAUAUAGCAACACUGGUUGUUCACACAAGCUGUUGGGUAUCUGCAACACAUGCCAGACUACCCAGCCACUAGUAGACAUACAAGACCAGUAAUGGCAAAACAUGUGUCACAUAUAUCCUGAACUCAGACCACUACUCAUGAGCUCAAAUCACAUAAUUCCUAGUGACAUGUCACUUGCAUCCUAAACUAUUCCUAAGGUUCAAAUGGGAUUCUUCGAUACCACAUUUCCAUUGAGCUUACUCGUAAUGUCGAUUUCAAUAUCCAUAGCACCAAUCACUUACUCAUGGAAUAAUCAAGCAUAAUUCAUAAUAAUAUUUAAGCAUUAACACAUGGUACAAAAUCACAUUAAUCAUAUAUAUAUACUUACCAUACAUGCAAUAUUAAAGCACUUAAUGUAUGGUACAUGUUGCAUUAUUUGCAAAUGAACUUACCUCUGUGCAAAAUGACCGGAACGAGCCUAAUCCUCGUAAACUUUGUUUUCCCCCCGAUCAAGACCCGAAUCACGUUUUUCUUGAUCUAUAAUGCCAAAUUUAACUUGUUCAAUACACACAUUGCUCAUAUCGACCCAUAACACAUACUUUGGUGAAAUUACCUUUUUACCUCUAACUUUUCACUUAUUUACGCUUUAGUCCUUAGGCUCGUAAAAUGAAAUGCAUACAUUUUCUUUGUUACCCAAGCCUAUUCAAUUCAUAUUCUAUCUCAUAUCAGCCGAUAUUUUUCUUUAAAUCACAUUUCUACUACUCAUUUCUUCAUCUUUUACAAAUAAGUCCUUUUAAGUGUUUUUACUAAAAAUCACUUAGUAAAAUAUGUUUAUGACACAUCAAACAUUCAUAUUCUUCCAUUAAACAUCAAAAUACAAACAUUUCACGCAUGGGUCAAGUUUCAUACAUAAACCCUACUUCAAAAUAUGGCUAGAUGUAACAGUUCGGUUUAAGCCCUAGUUAAAAUAGUGGUUUCUGGACUACAAAUUAGAGUCAAAAAUAUUUAAAUAUUAUUUUCUGUGCUUAUGUUAUGUCAAUUAUCAUGUUUAAAAUUUUCGUAUGAAAUUUUGAUCAAUUGUGUGCUUAAUUUGAUAAAAGGACCUAAUCGCAUAAAAUGUAUAAGUUGCCUGUUGUUUGUUAAAAGUGCCUAUUUGAUUUGGCUCAUUAAUUGUAAGGUCCUUAUGAUGUAAUUUGACCAUUUAAAAUUUUUAUGGACAUUAAUGACCAUUGAAUAUAUGUUUAUUAUAUGUUUUAAUAAAGAUUAAAUUUGUAAAUAGGUAAAUAAACCUAUUAUAAUAAAAUAAAACAUGAUAUUUGUUUCAUAUUUCCAUCAUUUUGGCUGAAUAUAUCAGAGAAAAAGAAAAGAUAAAAGCAAGCUCUCACUAUUAAUCUUUGAUUUAGGUAUGUUUUUGUUUCGAUUUUUGAUAAUUUCUAUGUUUUUGUAAUCGUUGCUUUGAAUGCUAUCAAGCCCAUGUCUCAAUUUCUGAUUUUGUUGAUGAUUUUGAAAUGUGCCAUUGAUGAAACUAUGAGUUCUGUGAAGUUAGUUGUUGGUAAAUGGAAGAUAUGUUUUGGGUUAACAUGUUUUGUCCUUGGAUUUUUGAUGAAUUUGAGUAAAAAAGGGUAAAUUGUGAAAUUUGUAAAUUGAAGGACUAAAAUGUGAAAUAAAUGAAAUGUGUGGACUAGUAUGAGUACUCGAAGAAUUCGGCCAAGCAUGAGUAUAUGCAAAUUAUAUGUAUUUUGUGAUUUUGUGAAUUAGGGACUAAAGUGUCAAAAUGUGAAAAUGUGAGGGCUAGUUUGCAAAAUGCCCUAAAUGUAUGCUUGUGGAUUGAAUUGAAUGACUUGGUGAAUAAAAGGGUUAAUUUUGAAUACAUAUAGAUCAAGAAAAGAGGAAUUCAGAUUUAGACCGAGGAAAGUCGAAGAUAAUCGAGUAGACGAUUCAAAUCGACAAUUUCGAGUACGAGGCAAGUUUGUAUGGAAUAAAUGAUAUUAUAGUCAUCUUUUAAUGCUUUAAAGAUGCAUGAAUUGUAUAGAUGUUUUACUAUGGUUUGUGUAAGUGGAUAAAUCGAAGGUAUUCGGCACUAAGUGUGCGAUUUGAAAUAGUUAUGGUUAUAAAUAGCACUAAGUGUGCUAAAUGGAAUAGCUUUGGCUAUAUGAGGCACUAAGUGUGUGAUACUGAUGUAGCCUAGGCUAUUUGAGAUGGCACUAAGUGUGCGGGUUCAUUUUAGCUUCUGCUAAUCAUUAAAGCACUAAGUGUGUGAAUUCUUAAAGCGUGGAAAGACUUCGGAAAGAAUUAAUGAAUUCGAAUGGGAGGUAAGAAUGAAAAUGAAUAAAUACGGGAAAGUUCAGGUAUGUACUGUGACAGCCCUAAUGUGACCCUAGUCGGGAAGUGGUUUCGGGGCCACAAAAUCGAGUCAUAAAAAUAAUUAGCUGACAUAUUUGAUGCUUAUUAUAUGUAUAUAUGCAUGUGUGAAAAUUUCAUAUUUGAAUUUUGUUUAAUUGUAGGUGAAUUUUAGUAAAUAGGACUUAUGUGAGAAAAUUUUGAAAUGUGAUAGGUCAAAGCAUAAGGAUCUAUUAGUGCAUGAAAUAAAAAUGGGGGACUUGCAUGUCAAUUUCCCCCCCCUAAUUAGUAGUGGCCGGCCAUGACAAGUAUGGUAGACCAAGUGUGAUGGGAAAAACAUGUCAUAAACAUGUUAAGUUAGUGUUUCAUGGGAGGUAUGAUAAAAUAAGGAGCAUGGGAAUAAAAUAAUGAAAGGGAAUAUGAUGAAAACAAAAAAAAAAGUGUGUGGUUGUUCCCCCAUUUUGCCGAAACUAGAAAAAAAAAAGAAAGGCUUCAUCCUUUGGUUCUUCUUCGCCGGUUUGAAAGGAGGAAGAAGAGAGGUUUCGGUCACCUUGAGCUUAAGGGGAGGUUAGUAUGUUGUGUUAAAUUCUUAAGUUUUAAACUUGUUUCUAGUUAAUUAGCAAAUUUCUUACACAAACCAUGGCAAAAUUUCGAAAUCUCGGUGAUGGCUUGAGCAUUCGGUUUUGGUUGUUGAAAGGAAUGAGUUGGAGGUUGGAUCAUGUUAAGAUUCGACCUUGUACAUAAACAUUAAGAGUUUGAUGUUUUUGCGAUUUUUGGAAGGUAAAUAAGGUUAUACACAAGAUAAAUACUAAGAUUUUGGUUGACUUGUUUUAGUGAGGUUCGGCCAAGGACCUUAUGUGCAAGUUUAUUCGGUUUAAGUAGAGAAAACGUGACGGGUAGAUAUGAAGUAAUGUGUAUAUUGGUUCAGCUGCUAAGCAAGGAAAUAAUUGUUAGUAACAUAGUAUCUAUGCACUUAUGUAUAUAUAUGUAUGUACAAAUAACCUAUUUAGCUAUGGAUAUCUAAGGUGUUAAAUAAUGAAAUUCUUGAUAACUUGGGUUAAAUAGCAUUCGGCCAAGGACUAUAUGGGCUUGUUAAUUCGGUUUAAGUGAAGAAACUAUGAUAGAGAAAUAUGACUAAAUUGUGGACUUUGACAAUUUAAAUGAUGCAUUUGACUUGUGUACCGACCUAGGACGAUAUGUGUUUCUAUAUGAAGUUAGAUGGUGUUGAUGAAGUUCGGUAAUGCAUGAUGUUUAAAUAGUAUUGAGCAAGGUCAUUGUACUUAAAUUGUAUGACAUACAUGUAUUGAAUGGAAUUGCCCAAGUGAAAAUAUUAAAUGAAUUUAUUUGUUUAAAUUAAGCUCAAGAGCAAAGGGGAUCUAAAUCCGAUAAAGGGAAGGAAAAAGUGGUCGAAUAGCCAUCGAAACAGUUCGACAACACCCGAGGUAAGUUUUCGAGUAACGAGACUUAAUUUACGAUUUGAUUAAGUCAUGACGCAUGAGCAUAACAAAUAUACGGUGAUAUGAUGAUUCUACUUGAAUUAUAUGUUGAGUUAAUUAGUCUAUACGUAUGACGGGUAGCCGUAUGUGCAUAGAGAUCGCGUCAUAAAGUAAACUAAACCAUGCUGUUUGUAUGUGGCUAGUGAGCCGAAAAUGGGAUUGCUUAAUACGUGACUUGUGUUUGAAUUCUAGUUAUGAAAUUGAAAUAGAGAUGUGUCAUGAUUUAUUGAUAUGUGCAUAGAUAUUCGGAUGAUAACCGGGCUAAGUCCCGAAGGCAUUUGUGCUAGUGACUAAUUCCGGGCUAAGCCUGAAGGCAAUUGUGCGAGUUAUUAUACCGGGGCUAAUUCCCGAAGGCAUUCGUGCGAGUUAUUAUGUCCGGGCUAAGUCCCGAAGGCAUUGGUGCGAGUUACUAUAUCCGGGCUAUGUCCCGAAGGCAUUCGAGCGAGUAGCUAUAUCCGGUUAAAUCCCGAAGGUACUUGGCUUGGGAAUAAGCGACCUUGCUGUUAUAGUUUCAAUUAAUACACUCGUAAAAUCCCAGCAAUGAGGUAUGUUUGUAUAUGCAUCGAAUUAGUUGAUCCCUUACAAAUAGUAUUCGCUCAGUCGAUAAAUGAGCUACCGGCCUUUGGCUAUGUUGAUCUUUUGUGUAUGAAUAUAAGGGUUGGUAAUGUGAAGUAAGUAUGAUAUUGAGAAUUUGUGCAUGUCAAAUUAUCCAUUUAGCCAUAUGAAUGCUACAUUUUAGUUGUGUCAAAUUUUAUGGCUCAAAACUUACUAAGCAUUAAAUGCUUACUCCGCUUCUGUAAAUCUCUGUUUUAUAGAUUUUGGUUCUUCAGCUAUCGGACUCCGGAUUUUUGAAGUCGAAGUCGCCCACACUAUCAAAGCUCCUUUUGGUACACUUUUGGUUGAACUUUGAAAUGGCAUGUAUAGGACACCCCUUUUUUGUUAUUAGUCAAGUACUUUGGUGUUGUAUAUAUUUAGAUAGCCAUGCGAAAAUGGCUUAUAUAUAUAUUUUGAGCAUAAUGUUAUAAUCAUCUUGAAUGUAUAUGUUCAUUAGGAGGCAUGGAAAUGUUUGGCAACGAUUAGCCAUUAGAAUGGUUCAUCAUGAUUAUAUUUGUAACACCUCGAACCCGAGACCGUCGCCGGAGUCGAACACGAGGUGUUAACAGACUUCAAACCACUUAUUAAAAAUUUCCCAGACAAGCUGCCAAUCUGCGUACUAGUCACUUUAAAAAUCAUAUCUUGGGUUCUGAAACUCUAAAUCCAGUUCCGUAAAUUUUACCCAGAACUAGACUCAUAUAUCUAUAUGGUAGAAUUUUUGUAGAAUUUUUGGUCAGGCCAAUUGGUACAGUUUAUUAGUUAAAGUCAUCACUGUUCCUGGGUUCGACUACUCUGACCUUUGUGCAUUACGACUUAGAUAUCUCCCUUUACAGAGCUUCAAUACUUAUUCCGUUUGUUUCUAAUGAGACUAGACUCAAAAGGAAAUCUAUAAAUAUAAGGAAUAUCUUCUAAUUGUCUCUGAUUAAUUUAUGGUGAAUUUCUAAAGUCGGAACAGGGGAUCCAGAAAUUGCUCUGGCCCUGUUUCACAAGAGUUUAAUUAUCUCCUAACAUACAGCUCAUAUGGUCGUUUCGUUUCUUCCAUAUGAAAAUAGACUCAUCGAGCUUCGAUUAAAUAAUUUAUUCAUUAUUUAAUUCCAUUCCUACUAUUUUUAGUGAUUUUUCAAUCUCACAUCACUGCUGCUGCCAGCAUCUGUUACUAAAGCAACUAUGCCUAUUUCGUGAUUUCUCCUUGAUCUAACUAAUAAUUCAUCAUACAUAUCACAAAUUAUGAUCAUGACUAGCCAUGCCAAAGGCUAAUCAUUGUCAAACAUCUCCCUACUACACUAUUGCCAUAUCAUGAAUUUUAACACCAAAAAUAAUCAACCAUGACAUAUGGCAUAAAAAUCGAAUAGGCCUCAACUAUUAUUCAACCAAAACCGAAUUGGCCCAAUAUCAGUCAUGACCACAUUAUAAAACCCAUUUACUAAGAUUUAUAACUAAAUAUCAUAGGACCCAAAGUCCAAAUUAACAUUUAUGCUAUUUUCGCAUGGCUGAAAGUUUACAUACCAAAGUUCAAACACAACAUAAUAGCCUAUACAUGCCGAAAUGUUCUCCUAGACCGACUAAGAAGAAAGUACCAAAACUUGCUAGUUGGUGUGAUGACUUCGAUGACGGUCCCAAGCACGCAAAAAGACGAGUCCAAGAAACCUAAAGUAGGUGACAAGCGAACACCGAGUGAGUAUAUAACUCAGUAAGUCUAUAAGCAUUACAUAAUCAUCCAUUAAUAAAUUAUCACAUGAGAAAACAAGUGAAAAUGGGUUAAUUCUCUCCACCCAUACCAACUAUGCCAUGGUUCCUUAGACCUUUCGGCUCAAUAUCAUACAAAGUACUACAUCAAUUUUUCAUAUGCUACUCAACAUGGUAUUUGAGGCAUUUUCCAUGGAUGCUUUCAUUCUCGUUACAUUCAUGCAACUAAAUAACAUUCCCUCUAUUCCAAGAUGAAUCUCAUGUACGUCACUUCAAGUAUAAUUAUCACAUAGGUUCAAAACUUAUCAAGCAAGAAUUCCAAAUAUAAACAUAACGUCUAUUAGCCAUGAACUCAAGAAACUUACUCAUCCGCUGUCCGUGACCAACUCAAUAAGGUCGCACACUUAGUGUCAAUAGUGCUUCAAAAACAUAUAGUAAGUCCGCACACUUAGUGUUAUAUAAUCAAACUCGCACACUUAGUGCUUACAUAAUCAAACUCGCACACUUAGUGCUAUAUAAUCAAACUUGCACACUUAGUGCUAUGCAAUUUAAACCUGCACACUUAGUGCCAAUCUCAUGAUCAUAAUUGUUUAUACCCGCACACUUAGUGCCGAAAUCAACAUCUCAAUACACCUCACCUCUUUUCUUUUUCAUUCAAUACUUUCAUCACCCCAUGCAUACGUGUAUAUAUAUAUUUAUCAUUCCAUUCGACAUAAUUACAUAGACAUUAUGACUAUUUAAAUCAAUACCAAAUAUAUGCUUAAUGACUUACCUUGUGUUGGGUAAAAUAACUCCAAGUCGACUACUCGAUGAUCUUCGAUUUCCCCUUGUUGGACGCCUCUCCUUUAGGAUCUUGAGCUUAAACAAAUAAAUUAACUCAUUCAACCGCUUUGCUACAUAUAUUGGUAUUCACAUUUUAAUGAUUUUGUGACAUACGGAAUGGCAUGGUAAAAUUUUUAUCUUGCUACCUUGUGUUCUUAGCUAUUCAGCUAAUAACCUUAUGCAAUUACCAUACUUUCAAUAAUCUAAUCACACAUGCAUAUGCAUACUUGGACAUUCGGCAAUCACCUUGCUAAUUUUAUACUCAACAUCACAUAAGCUCCCAAGUGAUGGCCGAAUAUGUAUAUCUAUACUAUCACCUAUAAUUCCUCAAUCACAACAUUUCAUCUCAUGAACACUUGACCCAUUUCUCACAAAAAAUGAAACAACAACUAAAAUGAACAUCCCAUUUUUAUCCCAUAUAGCCGAUUGCUUCAUUUGUUACCCAACUAACAAUUCAACAAUUUCAACCUCAUUACAACCUCUACCUAUUCAAUAUAACAUGAACACAAUCCUCCACCCCUAAAGUAGAUUCGGCAAUCACUUAACCCAUUUUAACCUCAACUUUCAAGUUAAAAGAAAUUAACCACUCACCAUCUCCUACAUUACUAUCCAUUUUAAUGACAUUAACACAUCUACUAAGAGUUUCAAACUUCUUGGCCGAAUUUCAACCCCAAAAUCCUAAGUCUAAUCUAUAGGAUGAGUAGAAUUGGAACUAACCAUCUCAAACAUGCAUAGAUUUUCAAGAAUCAUUCAACACAUACCUCAUUCUAGCCAUCUUCCAAGCCAAAAUCAAAUAACCAAGUCUCCCUUCCUUCUCCUCACUCACGGCAAUUGCCAAGAAAAAAAAAGAUGAACACUCCCUCUUCCCUCCUUAUUUUAUUCACCUUUUUCCUUUUUUAAUUCCUUUUUAUUUUAAUUGUUAACUAAACAAAACAUAUUAAAUUAGAAUAAGUGGAGCUCCAUCACCCCUUGGCCGGCCACUCUACUUCUUUUGGGUAAAUUGACAUGCAAAACCACCCUUUUUGGUACAUCCACUAAUAGACCAUUUUAAAUUAGCCUAUCAUAUUUCACCAUGUCUCAUAUUGAUCCCUAUUCAAUAAUUUCUCAUGCAAUUGGCAAAAUUAGGGAAUGAAACCUCCACAUAUGCAUGUACACAUAUAAUAAGCAUAGAAUAUAGCAAUUAAUUAUAUUUUUUAUGACUCGGUUUUGUGGUCCCGAAACCACUUUCUGACUGGGGUCACACUGGGGCUGUCACAAUAUUUUGGGCUAUAUAUGCUAAAGGGCUAGUUGAAUCAUGGAAACUAUGAAAUAGGUAAAGUCUACCUUAAAGGCAGAUGCUGACAGCAGCUGUGAUGUAGAUUUGAAAAUUCACUAAAAAUAGUAGGAAUGGAAUUAAAUGGUGAAUAAAUUAUGUAAUCAAACCUUGAUGAAUCUAAUUUCACAUGGAAGAAACGAAACGAUCAUAUGAGUUUUAUGUUAAGAGAUAUAUAGGUUUUUGCGAAAUAGGGCCAGAACGGUUUCUGGAUUCCCUGUUCCGAAUUUGGAAAUUCAUUAUAAAUUAACCAGAGAUAAUUAUAAGUCAUGCCAUAUAUUUACAGAUUCCUUUUUGAGUCUAGUUUCUAUAGAAACAAACGUCAUCAGUAUUGAAGCCCUGUACAGGGAGAUAUCCAAUUCGUAAUGCGCAAAGGUCAGUGUAGUCAAACCCUGAAACAGGGGAGACUUUAACUAAUAAACUGUACCAAUUGGCUCGACUAAAAAUUCUAGAAAAAAAUUUGUAGAUGAAAAUAUGAGUCUAGUUUCAGGAAAAAUUUACGGAACUGGUUUUCGAGUUUUGGAACUCGAGAUAUGAUUUUUAAGGUGACAGUGACGCAGUUAGCCAGAUCGUCUGGAAAUUUAAAAUGGACUGUGCAGAUAAGUGAAUUUAGUCCGUUCACACCUCGUGUCCGACUCCGGCAACGGCCUCAGGUACGGGGUGUUACAAUUUUAUUGGUAUCAGAGCUACGGUUUAGCCGAUUCUAGGACUACCGUAAUGCGUUUGGGUCUAGCUAUACAUGCCAUUUUAUGUGAUUAUUUGAUAGUGUGGUGAUUUCUGACAUUUGCAAACGUGUUUAUUUAUAGUAAUGGAUCCCGAUCCCGACUGAGCGGUAGCUGAUGAUCUUGAGAGUGUAGCGCCUGCUCCCGCACAAGGGACAGCGCCGGCAGACUCUCAACCUAACGCUAGUAAUCCGAAUGAUGAAGCUAGACAAGCUUUUUAUAGCAUGAUGAAUGAUUGGUUCAACCAAUACAUUCGAAUUAAUACGGCUGUUCCACAACCUCCAUUCCCGACAAAUACCACCCCCGCACCUACAAUACCUCCGGUAACUGACCAAAUAAGGUCAAAUAAGCCCCCAGUUGACAGAAUUCGAAAACACGGGGCUACUGAAUUAAAGCUACGGAUAGCGAUGAUGCCGAGCAAGCUGAAUUUUGGUUGGACAACACUAUCCGGGUACUCGAUGAGCUAUCUUGCACACCCGAUGAGUGCCUAAAGUGUACUAUCUCCUUGCUACGUGAUUCUGCCUACUAUUGGUGGAAUACGUUGACUUCUGUUGUGCCCAGAGAGCAAGCAACUUGGGAGUUCUUCCAAACCGAGUUUCGAAAGAAGUAUAUCAGUCAGAGAUUCAUUGACCAAAAACGAAAGGAAUUUCUUGAACUCAAACAAGGUUCCAUGUCAGUUACCGACUAUGAACAAAAAUUUGUAAGGCUUAGCCGGUACGCGCGAGAAUGCAUUUCUUCAGAAGCCGUGAUGUGUAAACGUUUCGAGGAUAAGCUGAAUGAUGAUAUAAAGCUGUAUGUUGGCAUUUUAUAAAUCCGAGAGUUUGUGGUACUUGUCGAGCGAGCUUGCAAAGCCGAGGAGCUCAGUAUGGAGAAAAGAAAAGCUGAGGUGGGAGCAAGGGAGUUUCGUAAGAGGUCUUCGGGGAAGCCCUUCCCACAGUCAUCGAAGAAAUUUAGAGAUGGCUUAGGCCGGUCUAGAGACACUUCGGGCUUUUCUAGACGAGAUCGCGAUCGACCCCCUGCGAGUGCACGAGUCACUUCGGUCGCCAGUGUGGAAAAUGAUCGUCGAGAUAGAACGGAGUGUCAGUAUUAUGGUAAAUUGCAUUCGGGGAGUUGUAGAUUCCAUGACCGCUCCUGUUACAAGUGCGGAUCAGUUGACCACUUCAUUAAAGAUUGCCCGAGGUUGUCUGAACAGAAUGUAAGUCAGAGUGGGAAACCGGGUGCUACCACUGCUCGAGGUAGACCAUCUAGAAAUACGGGCAAUGCUAGUGGUGGUCAGAGAGGAUCUAGAGAUGCUACAACCAGAUCUGAGGCUUGUGCUCCUGCUAGGGCUUAUGCUAUACGCGCACGCGAGGAUGCUUCCUCGCCAGAUGUUAUUACCGGUACUUUUACUCUCUUUGGUACUAAUGUGAUUGCUUUGAUUGACCCUGGUUCUACUCAUUCUUAUAUAUGUGAAACCUUAGCAUCCAGUAAGACUUUACCUAUGGAGUCCACUGAGUUCGUAAUUCGGGUGUCAAAUCCCUUAGGUCGUUACGUGCUUGUCGACAAAAUGUGUAAGAAAUGUCCCCUAGUAAUUCGAGGUUCCUAUUUUCCGGCGGACUUGAUGCUUUUGCCGUUUGAUGAGUUUGAUGUUAUUCUCGGUUUGGAUUGGUUGACCGUGCAUGAUGUGGUUGUGAAUUGCAAAAGCAAGACUAUUGAUUUGAGGUGCGCAAAUAACGAGAUAAUCCGGGUUGAGUCUACGGACUUAAAGGGGUUGCCAGCUGUAAUAUCAUCAAUGUUGGCUCAGAAAUAUGUAAGAAAGGGGUGCGAAGCAUACCUUGCGUAUGUACUUGAUGACAAAGAGUUAGAAAAGAAACCCAAAUCUGUGCCGGUGGUUUGUGAAUACCCGGAUGUUUUUCCCGAAGAAUUACCGGGUUUACCACCUGUUCGGGAGGUAGAUCUUACUUAGAUUGAAGAAGCUUUAUCAAACUACAUAGUACAGACCAUAUAUCUUAAAUAUUCAACAUCAAGCAAGGAAAUUACAAAUUAGGCAAGGAGAACCCAAUAAUCUAUGGAGAUAGAAAUAUUCUAAAGCAGCAGAUCAGGGUUCAUUAACAAUCUGACUUAUCAAAGUUAUCGUGCAUAGAGACUUUUAAUGAUACUUGAUCAUGCACAAGCACAUGCAUGUAAAUAAAAAAGGAAUAAAACAAUCUGUGGUUUAUUGAGAUUACUGAAAUCAAAGUUCAUAAAUGGUCAAUCUUUAUUUCAAAUGAUACUUGGUCAAGCACAAGCACAAGCACAUGCAUGCAAAUAAAAACGGAAUAAAAAAGGAACUCACUCUUGAUGUUUACUUGUAUAGAGACAUAUCAAAAUUUGCAAAAGUAUUGACAGAUUAAACCAUCUCGAGAAAAAUCUUGAAUAUUCAAGCUUUUAAUUGUGUAUUUUUAGCAUUUUCGCAUCCCACCUGAGUAUAGGGAAAACCAGUUUACUGAGUUUCUAUUGACAAAAUCUAUGUUUCAGAAACUAAAAUAAUGUACCAUGCAAAAGAUGUAUGCCUUGGUAUUAUUAGCCUUUUUGCUCAGAAAAUUAAUAAUUUUUUUAAUUCAUGGAAAUAUCUACAAGUUAGAAAGAACAAAUUAACUAAAGACAGAGUAAAAAAGAACAAAUCAAGCCCUUCGGCCCCUGCCUGCAUAUUUCAAUUUAAUAUUGAAUUCGAUUCCACUCGAAAAAUUCGAAAAAAAAUCAAAUUUCAAAUUAUUUGAAUUGAGUUAAUAGAAUCAACUCGAUUUUUAAUCCGAAACAGUCAUAUAAAAGCUAAAUCAUGCAAUUUAUCUUUAAGUACACAUUUUAAAUCGUUCAAGUUUUUUACUGGUUUAAUAAUAUAUUAGAUCAUAUCCAAUUAAGCAGGCUCUUACCGAAGAAAGUUGGUGAUCCGAUCAAGAGAGUAAAAUGAUCAGCUUCUAGUUUUGUUCGUUGAGUAAUAUCGUCGAGCACUUGGUGACCUGAAAAAAAACGAACUGGAGAAAAAGAACUUAACAGAAAGGGCCUUGAAUCCAAAAUCAAAUCGAAUCGAAGGUUUUGAAAAAGGAGAAAUAGAGGGGCGACUUAAAAGGGUUGACAGUUGGAGACAACCCUUGACGACGAUUUGAUGGCGAUGAAAGCUCACGGCGGCUAGGGUUUCAAAACAAAAGAGAAGGCUCCUUCUCUUGGUUAGCUUUGCAGAAGGUUCAGUUUGACAGAGAAGUGAAAGAUUUUGUUCAUUUUUAUUUACUUCACAUUAUGUUUUACCUCGUUAUGAUAAUAUAAAUAACUAAAAUAUAAUCUGAAUUAAACAAAAAUAAUUAUUUUUAAAUUUACCCUUUAAUUUAUCUUCAUUUAAGUGAAUAAAACGAUAGAAAGGGAAAAGACCAAGAUUUUAGAAGGUUCAAGAGCAGCCCAAAUCUUGUAGUUUCU